RNAcentral lists this long non-coding RNA (58907 nucleotides) under Prunus persica (peach). RNAcentral describes it as "long non-coding RNA (PPER_LNC004266)". Lineage: Eukaryota; Viridiplantae; Streptophyta; Magnoliopsida; Rosales; Rosaceae. The record is from RNAcentral.
GACAUGGAGGGUAUGGCACGGACAUGGAGGAUAUGGCCACGGCCACCGCGGCAAAGGGGGACCUGGUGUUGCUGAGACGAAAAUCAAGAAUUAGAUAACCUGUUAGUUUCUGUAACGACCCGGUCCUAAAUAAAUGUUUAAUUAUUAAUUAAACAUGAUAAAAGACCAUUUGCCCCUAGAAUAUUUUAUUAGGUUUAAAGUUGACUUUUUGACUGAGAAGAGAUUUGAGAAUUCCUACUGUACUGGUGCGUAGGGCAUGGCGAGAUGAGUUCAUAGACACGUGGUGGGUUUGAAUCGGAGUUGUAACAAGAGAGAUACGAUCAAAAUACCCUCAGUGGCAUAACUAUAAUUUUGGAGAAAAGGGUUUGAUAAAAAUUUGGCUUCUCUCUCUCUCUCUCUCUCUCUCUCUCUCUCUCUCUCUCUCCCCCGCAAGUAAAACCCCCAUUCGUUUUCUGCAUAGCCGGUGGCUUCUAAAAGCCACUGCCGCCACCACCGUACACGACCGGCCUCGAGACCGAUCUUGUUUGAACCGUCGCUUCUCCCCCUUCCUUUCCUGACCAGCCCCGCCCCUGGAACCGGCAGAUUCCGUCGGAAAAAGCUCGGAAUCGAGCUGGAUUUGACAGAAACUUCGUCGGCUUUGUUCGCCGUCGUUCGACCACCAUUUCCGACGAUCUAGGUAUGGAUUUUGAACCUCUCGAGCUGUUCUUGCUGCUUGUUGUUUUAGAUUUGAGAGAUUUCUGCGUUUUGAAGGUCGAUUAAGCGAUGGAAGUUUGGCCGAUUUUCGGCUUCCGAUUCCGGCCACUUCCGGUCACUUUUUGGGGUAGGUCCAAGAACAAAAGUGGUUCCAAAUAGGGUGUUAUACCUAGGAUAGGAGUCUUGAGCCGUGGUUUUGAGAUUUUUCGGCGAUGCGUAAUCGCUUUGGACACCCACGCGUUGUCGGCGUGUGUGGCGGCGCGUGGGCACUGUAGAAAAGGGGCAUUGUGUCCCGAUGCAAUCCCCUUGUUGUCUCGAGUGCUUCAGUGUGCUCGAAUUUCAAUUUGGUUGACGUUUGAACCCUAAACGGAUUUCGCCUAUUGUGCAUUAUCAGGGUUCGAUAGGUUUGAACCGUUGGAUCGUCUUGAAUUCAAUAUAUGUUAAUCUAGGAAUUUCUAGGAUCGUGUAGGAAUUCAUGGAUCGUGAAUCGGAGCCCGGAUGUUCCGAUUUAAUAACUUAAAGUUUAUGUUUUACAAGAACCGUCUGAUUGUUCGAUCACGAGUGAGCCGACCGUUCGCUCGGGACCAAACUUACGGGACGUGUAUCCUGAACCUUGUAGAACCCAUAGUAACUUUCAGAUCAGAAUUUGGAGGUCGUGGGCCCUGUGGGCCCGUUUAACCAAGUUGGGGUAGUUGGAUACCUCGGUUGACCGUUAGUCUUACAAAGUAGUUUCACCCUUCGGAAGGUAUUAAGAUAACCUUUUUAUUGAAUCUUAAUUGUUAUUUGAGGUUAAAUUGGAAAUUGAUUCGAUUUAGGAUUUUCUUUAGAGGUUGUUGCUUAUCAUUAAUUAAUAUUAUUUGAUUAUAAAUAAAGUAUAAUGUUCUAGUUGUGUAAUACAGUAUUUUAUGGAAUUUGUGUGAAAACAAGCGUUGAAUAAUAUUUAAAUUGUUCUAGGAUCUUUAUGAAAUUUAGGUUUAUGUGCAUUAUCAUUGGUUAAAAAAAUAAUAUUAUUUUUCUGAUUAAAUUACGUUGCAGUCUACUAUAGACUGGUAUCACUAAAUUGGGAAUACCUCUAUUAUUAGUUUAGAUAAUUGAGAGUAUGUCAGUUUGAAAUACUAUACGCACUACCUUAUGUACCUCCUCGGAUAUUGAUUACACUGUAAGCACUAUUCUGUGAUUGUUAAGUCCCACGUGGAGUAGGUUAUCCAGCGUGAGGACAGACCUCAAACGUGGCGUUGAAUGUUCCGGCGUAUAGGGGAGAUUAUGUGAUGGUUAGGUCACACGUGGCGUAGGUUAUCCGGUGUGUUGAUAGACCCCUUACGUGGCGUUGGAUGUUCCGGUGUAUGGAGAGAUUUUGUGUUUGUUAGGUCCCACGUGGCGUAGGUUAUCUGGCGUGAGGACAGACCCCAUAUGUGGCGUUGGAUGUUCCGGCAUAUGGGGGAGAUUAUGUGAUGGUUAGGUCACACGUGGCGUAGGUUAUCCGGUGUGUUGACAGACCUCAUACGCAGCGUUGGAUGUUCCGGGGUAUGGGGAGAUUUUGUGAUUGUUAGGUCCUAGGUUGCGUAGGUUAUCCGGUGUGAGGACAAACUCCAUACGUGGCGUUGGAUGUUCCGGCGUAUGGGGAGAUUUUGUGAUUACCAGGGAGAUGAAUAAAGGAUUGUUAUGUUAUAUUGGGAAAGACAUGUUUGUUGAAAGAACUACGUGUGACUUGAUCCCUUAGUAAGGGUACGUAGGCAACCUAGGGUAAAGCAUAGGUGCAGCCGCGGGCUAAACUUUACUUAUGUUGUUUUAGUGAGUGGGGUGUUGAAUUUGUAGUUGGUCUUGAAAUUCGUAUGGAAAUGAGACUUGAUUAAAAAAGUUAUUCUAUGUUGAUUACAGUAGGCGUUCAUAAAUAAGUUUGAGUUGGUUAUAUACUUUGUUUAAUGCAUUAAUUUGCUUCAAGAGCAUUGCUGGCGGUUCUGUUUCGAGUUAUUUGAAGGCCGGAGGCCGAUUAUGUGAAUUGCAUGAAAUUAUCUUGUGUAUGCUGCCAGUUGUGGAUAUUAAAUGUGUUUUAUGCAGGUUGAAAUUUUUGGGAUUGUUCAAAUUACAGGGGAGACUCUGCCAAAAUUUCGGCAGAAAGUCUCGGGCCCUUAUUCCUUUUGGGAAAAAAGGAUAUAGUUUUAGAAGUGAGCCCGACAUCGGGAUGAUGUCAGGAAUUUUCACAGGAUUCGUCUCGGGUUUCGGGAAAUUCGAGGCAGGUCCUGUCAUUUUGUGACUUACGUUGCAGGUGGUUGUAAGGGUAGCCGUACGAAAUAAAGUUAUUUGGUUGAGUAAUCUAUAUGAACUCUCAAUCAUAUACUCGUCUUAAGCUUGUUCUCGUGUUCUCUGUAAUGUACGCAUUGGAAUGUGUUCUCUUGUUAUGUGAUAAAAUGUGAUGUAACUUGCUCAAUACAUAUUAUGUCAAAAAUGUUUAGUAUGGCUAGGCUCCUUAAAAUUGAGGGGGAGCACAUCCUCACAACAAAUGAGAUUUUGGCACUAGUUAAACUUCAAAAAAAAUAUAAAUAAAUAAAAGAGGUUAAAAGAAUUCAAAUGAAAAAAAAUUAAAGGAAUUUGCCAAGUGAGAAACUGCUGCUCAGUUUUGUGGAGCCAAACUUUUUCCUAAUAUUAAUGGAGUUCAUGUAUGACUCAUUUGUUUUGUGUACCAAAUUUAAUGAAUUGUGCAUUCAUUGGUGGACCCAUAAGAUAUAGUUUUUAAUUUAGGUGAGAUAUUCUCGGCAAUUUAAAUCAUGUCAAAAACAUGAUUUCAAAAAAAAAUCAGCCGUCAUCGAGUUUGUAGAUAAAUAAAUAAUAUAUAUGGAUGAACGUAAGCUAUAGAGAAGAACAUUACCAAGAGCUUUCGUGCUGAUAAUGUAUUGUGAAACUAGGAAUUUGUUGGGAGAAAUAAGAGGAAGAAAGAGAGUAUAAUUUGCUCGAAUAAACUUAUAUUCCAUUCAUAUUUGGUGCCACUACUUAUAGGGGUAGAGAGGCCUAAAUCAUUUACCACCAAUAAUUGGUAGGUGACAAAUAUAUAAUGAUGAGUGUUAUGAUAGGUUAAUAGUGGCUAUUAUUGUGAGCAUCCAUAACCUAUAAACCCAUAACGUAUGGAUUUAUAACACAAAUACGUUUAUUAAAUAAAAAAUAAUUAAAAGCUAAAAAGAAGAUAAGAGUCUAUGUCCAGCAAGAAUUCUAUAUAGAUUACUGUUGAGGCCCAAAAUGUCAUAAGAAGCUCAAGGAUAUUUAAAGUUCAAUAUAACAUAUAAUGUUGGCCAUGCGUUAAUCCAAGCUGUAUUUUGGGAAUUGAUUCAUUAAAUAAACAUAGAAAUAGUGUACAUGCCAUGCCAAUCAAAUAAUAUAUUUUUCUAUGCUAAACCACCUAACAAGCUUAAGUGGACCCAAGCCACAUAUAUGUUUGGGGCUUGCUGAGCGGAUUGUGGUGUGGAUGGUUACAAGUGUUCAUAAAGCUCGUUGAAGGAUCAAAUAGUGGAAAUUUUACGGCUGCUUGGGAGUACCAAAAUUCAUAUAUACCCACUUUCUUGAGCCUAAUUACACGAGUAAGCAGAGAGGGAACUCCCAGCCUCUUCCAAAACUCAAACCCACUUUCAUUACUAUGCACACAGUAAUUACUGCACACUCAUGGAGAGACCAAUUGUUGAGCACUGUCCAUUCAGGGAUCCUUCCUUACACAAUCAUUCUUCAGCCUAUAAAUAGACCUUCAUCCCUCCUUGCAAUACACACACCGAAACCAGAAGAAGAACGGCAGGAGGCAAGCUCAUCCUCCCACUGCCGUCUAGUAGCUAUGCUUGUAUCUGGUCUCGAUUUGCAUAUCUAUUAUUAGGUAAAAUACUUUGAAAAAGCACAAAUAGUUUGUGGACAUGAGCGAUAGAUACUGUGGCUAGAUUGUCAACAAUGACAGUGUGAACGACUUUUCUUCAUGGUGUGCUUUAGCUACAUCUUCUACCCUUCUGCGUUGGUCACAUUCAUGUAAUCUUGUACAUGAAGCAACGUACCACAAAGGCUAUCAAAACUUUAAUAACUGUGGACUAGAAGGAAGCAAUAUAUAGGUCCUACUACCUGUGCAUUUUUGCUUGACUAAUAGUUUGAUGCUUAAGGUAAAUCCAAUACAAUUAGUGUAAAUGUCCUUUUACUAUAUAAUUAGGUAUAUCCAAUACAAAAUAAAUCUUUAAUCUUGAACGUAUUUAUAUAGGGGAUUCUAUGACUCACAAAGAAAACCUACGGAUACAUUUGGGUUAUGUUUAAUCUCAUUUUCUCUUUUGUAAUUCCAUCUACUUUUUAUAAGAAUUUGUUUGAAACAACUUAUAUAUAAAAACUACCAUUGUUUUUAGAUGAUUAUUGUGGUAGGAUGAAAUCAACAAAAUAGACAAACAUGGUAUUUCAAGAAAAGACUAUAAUAACAACUAUCUAAUUGAAUGAUCAAAUGGUUUCGGAUCCAAGUGAUUAUCGCAGAGAUGAUCUUUGAAGAAAUAUCUAAAAACUAGAUGGUAUUGGAUUAUUGAAAUGCAUGGUGAGUCUUAUAAGGGUGUCCUUCAAAUAAGCUUAUUUGAGAAAUCCCUCAACUAAAGCCAUAUCAAUCUCCUUCUCACAAUAUAUAUAUACACACCACACCUUUUGUGAAAAUCUAAAAAUGCUAAAUUAGGAAUGAAAACUGACAGUUAAAGAACUCUCAUGAUCACUCUACAAGAUUGUGACCUGAAUGAUGAAUCAGCAGCUUAAGUUUUACCCAAUUUGCCACAUACCAUCAAAGUAGGGGUUGAUUUGGCGUUCUUUAGCCUUUAAUCACCACAAGAGUCACAAAUUCUUCUCUUCUGUCUCCUUAUCUUUCCAACCCCACUGAUAUCUCAGAAAGGUCUAUAAAUAGGGAGAACCAAGCCACAUUAUACUCACUCAGCAAUCAUCUCUUGCAUACUUUCAUAUAUACAUUAUCGUGCUUGUUGUUAAGCAAAACUUGGCAUCCUCAAAGGCUUGUCUUCUUCUUGGUCUUGUCUUUGCUGUUCUCUGUUGACGUGAAUCUCCUAAUUAAUGAAGGAGAUUUACUUCCUUGAUUAAUUAUGGGAUUUACUUUCCUAUUUUUUAUAUAGUUGAUAAAUCAUUGUAUAAUUAGGAGAUACUUUCUUAAUUCUUUACUGUAUCUAAUUCCUUGUAUAGCACCCCGUAAACUCUUAUAUAUACCUCUUUAUGGAGAAGAAUAAAGAUAACUGUUGUGAUAUUUAUUGCAAGCGCACAAUUCGCACAAGUAAUAUAGUGAUGAGUGAAGUGUCGUUCCCACGAAGAGUGAUUUAAUUUACCAAGUACCGAUUGUGAUUAACCCAAGACUUUAUUUGAACAAUUGAUGAUGAGAUUUGAUUGAUUAAUUAACUAAAACAAUGAAUAAAAACAAGCGUAGAAAAAUAAAGUAGUGAGAUUCAAGUUAUGAGAGCACUAGAGCUUCCGAUUUCACCAUAGCCAAUUCUACCCAAUUCCCUUAGCAUGUUAAUCCUAAUUAUUCUCUAUAUUGACAGUUGAUUUUCCCUACUUUAUUCGAUACUCCAUCCCUGGUUAUACCAAAAGGAUUCUUAUUACCAACCCACUCUAUCCCUAGUAAUGGAAUUAAGAUAAUAAGAACCCAUUAAAUUCCUUGGAAACCUACAAAACAACCACAUAAGUCAUGACAAACAUCCCUGUCUAAUCAUGUAACUCAUGGUAUCUAUUACAAGAAGCAACCCCAAAUUGGAUAUUCCUAUCAUCAAUUUAGCAUCAAAACAAUUAAAUGUUGGCCAAACAUUCAAAGCAUUAAGCAUGGUAAUAGAUACUCAACAUGGAAAAAUGCUUGGAAUUAACAUUGACUAAAGUAAUUGAGUAUUCAUGGCUAGGCUACAUCGUAGCCCUAGCAAGAAGAAAUUAGUUCAUGACAACUUUAAUAAAAACCAUGAUAAAUAAUAUCAUAGGAAAGAAGUAACCAAUUGAAGAUUUGAUCUCUGCACGACAGCAACUCUAGCUCCAGGUUGUCUUUUUUGUCUCUCUAAAACUCUCUCUCUCUCUCUCUCUCUCUCUCUCUCUCUCUCUCUCUCUCUCUCUCUCUCUCCUUUGAGUGUUUCGGCGAUGAGUAUGAAUGUGUAGGGAUUUUAGGGUAGAUGAUGGAGGAUGGAUGAUGGGUAAUGGAUCCUUUCAACAAUGACCUAAACUCCCUAUUUAUAAAACUCCUAGAAAUCCUACCUAAGGAAUAAUUACAAUUGUUAUAAAAAUAGGAUUCCUUCUAAAAUAAGGUCUUCUUUAUUUCUCCUUGUUUGACUUGAUAAGACUUGCACCAUCUUGAACUAGGAAAUUUGACAACAUUCCUUGCAACAAAAGGAAUGACUUGGCUUCUUUUUAAUUGAUCUUCAUCUUCUUGCCUUUUUUUAGCACACUUUCUCCUAUUUCACAAUUCCUUCACAAAUCUCACAAAACCAAUUAAAAACAACCAAUUUAAUCCAAGAAAUUAAUAAAUAAAUAAGCAAAGGAGGCAUAAAAUAUAUAUAUAAUAUAGACUUAUCAAUAACCUAAUACAUUCAAACCAUAUUCAUAUUUUAGCAUGGUAUCAGAGCAAUCGAUCCUCGGUUGUCUCUAAAUUCUCAUAUCAAAUUUUUCUUCAAACACAAACCAUAAAUCCUCAUAUCAAAUUUCUUCAAACACAAACCCUAAAUCCUCAUAUCAAAUUUCUUCACACCCAAACCCUAAAUCAAAUUCCUCAUAUUUAUAGCUUCAGAUUCAGAUCUUCAUACCCGAAUCCUCAUAUCCUCUUAUCACAAAACCCUAAACACAAAUUUUUUUCUCUUAUCACAAAAUCCUAAACACAUCUUUUUCCUCUUUUCUUAAAUCUUUCUGCUGCCAUGAAUAUUGUCUCAUCUUCCCAAACCACUGCCUCCACUUCCCCAUCCUCCAUAAUUGCCACAACAGGUUCCCACGGUUAUGUUUUGCAUAGUUCUUCAAAGAAACACAUAUGGGUCAUUGACACCGGAGCCACUGAUCAUAUAACCUUUGAUCCUGGAUAAAAUACCUCUCAUACCCCGUCUUCUCAAUCGGUGGUGUCUAAUACCAAUGGUACCCCCUCCCCAGUAAUUGGGGAGGGUUCCCUCUCUCUCUCUGACUCCCUCACUUUGGAUUCUGUAUUGAUUGUUCCAUCCUUACAUCAUAAUCUCUUAUAUGUUGCCCAAAUUACUACGGCUUUGAAUUGCAUUUUAACCUUUUGGCCUACUCAUUGUGUUUUUUAGGACAUUCUCAGCAGAAGAUGAUUGGUUGUGGUACUAGGACGGGCAAACUCUACUAUCUGGACUUGGCAUCUGACAGUGAAGCCAGCCUCAGUCAUGCUUACAAAAUUGGGGGUACGAGUGUUGAGAAGCAAACUUUCGGAGUAUGGUUAUGACAUCGCCGACUUGGACAUGCUUCAUUUGGAUAUUUACAGAAGCUAUUUUCUUCCUUAUUUUCCCAGUUAGAUAUCUUUAGUUUUAUGUGUAACAUCUGUGAAAUAGCCAAGAGCCAUCGUGUUUCUUUCCCUUUAAGUUCACAUAAAAGUUUGGUUCCUUUUUCGCUUGUUCAUUUUGAUGUUUGGGGCCCGCUAAAAUUACCACUCUUGGGGGAGCUAGAUGGUUUGUCGCGUUUAUCGAUGAUUGCACACGUAUGACCUGGGUUUCCCUUCUUCAAACAAAAGGGGAAGUCAGUUCCAAGUUUCAACAGUUCUAUCACAUGGUGGAGACAUAAUUUCAUACAAGAAUUCAAGUUCUUCGGUCUGACAAUGGUGGAGAAUUUCUCUACCAUAAUCUUACUCAAUUCUUACAAGAUCAUGACAUCAUACAUCAAUGCUCAUGCCCUUACACUCCCCAACAGAAUGGUGUGGCUGAACGAAAGAAUAAACACUUAUGGAAGUGGUUCGUGCCUCUCUCUUUGGUGCCAAUAGCCUCGGUCUUUUUGGGGAGAAGACGUCCUCUUUGCAGCAUACCUUAUCAAUCUGAUUCCCUCCAGUAUCCUUAAUUUCCAAACCCCCCUUCAAACACUCUACCACCAUAUCCAAAUACCUCAUACCAAAAACCUAGAACCACAGAUUUUUGGCUGUGUGGUCUUUGUCUUCUUACAUAAUCACUAAAACAAUAAAUUGAAUCUCCGCGCCAAAAAGUGUGUUUUUAUUGGUUACACACCUCAUCAGAAAGGUUACCGGUGUUAUGAUCCUCCUAGUCAGAAGGUCUAUACUUUUAUGGAGUUGUGUUCUGAGAACACGACAUAUAUUUUUCAGCCAUACAGGAGGAGCAUUGCGAUACCAACACAUCUCAAAUUUCAAGACUUUUCCUUUCAGAAUGGUCACAUACUGAAAACGACCAGUCGCAGAAUGCAAGUGACCGGUCGCCGAAGACUCUGCCUGAAAACGACCGGUCGCCUAAGACUCUGCCUGAAAGCGAUCGGUCGUCCCCCGGAAAUAUGAAUCUGCUUUAAAACGACCGGUUGUCUCCUUGUUGUCAAACUCAGGAGGAGAACAUUGAGGAGUUUUUGCCCGCUCAGGAGAAUUCUUCAACUCCAGUACCCCACCAAUCACCUGCUGAGGACGUCAUUCAGGUAACCUCUUUUCCUGAAACUAAUAAUAUUAAUGAAAUAUCCCAUGAUGAUUUAAUUUCAAAAGGCAUAUAGCCUACAUAUUAGAUUCCAAAACGGAAGAACGGUGGAAAACCUUCAGUUCACUACGAAGCAGACCUUAAUGCAAAAUGGAAAUAUCCCAUCAACAAUUAUGUAUCCAUCAGCAGAUUAUCAGAAUCACGGGUACACUUUGUGAAGCAGUUGGAUGACAUACCUGCUCCCAACAAUGUAACUGAAACACUAGAAGACUCAAAAUGGAAAGAAGCCAUGAAUGAAGAAAUGCGAGCUCUCCAGAAGAAUGACACAUGAGAAGUCGUGCCAUUACCUCACGGAAAGAAGACUGUCGGAUGCAGGUGGAUUUAUACUGUGAAACUAAAAGUAGAUGAAUCCAUUAAAAGAUAUAAAGCUAGAUUGGUGGCGAAAUGGUACACACAAAGAUAUGGGAUAGACUACCAUUAGACUUUUGCCCCAGUAGCCAAGAUUAAAACUAUCAGAGUUCUUCUAUCUUUAGUAGCAAAUCUAGAUUGGCCAUUACAUCAGUUUGUUGUAAAAAAUGCAUUCUUACAUGGAGACUUGGAAGAAGAAGUAUAUAUGGACUUGCCACCAGGAUGUAACUUAGCUCGUGACAAGGAGAAUCAAGUUUGCAAGCUCAGAAAGUCAUUGUAUGGGUUAAAGCAAUCCUCUAGGGCAUGGUUUGGCAGAUUCACUAAAUCUAUGAAGAAUUUUGGAUAUAUACAAAGUAAUGUAGAUCACACCUUGUUAUUGAAGCAUGAUGGAAGAAGACUUACUGCACUGAUUGUUUAUAUGGAUGACAUAGUCGUAACUGGAAACGACACAGAAAAGCAAUUGAAACUGCAGAAAUAUUUGUCUCAGGAAUUUGAGAUGAAGAAUCUAGGUGAUCUGAAGUACUUUCUAGGAAUUGAAGUAGCUAGGUCCACAACUAGUAUAUUUCUGUCUUAAAAGAAGUAUGUAUUAGAUCUGCUCACUGAAAUAGGAAUGCUUGGAUGCAAACCUGCUGAUACACCCAUCGAGAUGAAUCACAAGUUAUGUGAAGACAUGGAUCAAGAACCAACCAAUAAGGAACAGUACCAACACCUUGUUGGAAGGUUGAUAUAUUUAGCUCACACAAGACCAGAUAUUGCAUAUGCUGUGAGUAUGGUUAGUCAGUUUAUGAAUUCACCCAGUGUGUCCCAUAGGAAUGCAGUUGAUCGGAUCUUAAGAUACUUAAAGUCAGCACAUGGAAAAAGGGUUAACAUUCUAAAAAAAUAGAGAUCUCAAAGUUGUUGGAUAUACAAAUGCUGAUUGGGCUGGCUCCGUUACUGACAGACGCUCUACUUCAGGUUACUUCACUUGUGGGAGGUAACCUAGUCACUUGGCGGAGUGAAAAACAAAAUGUGGUUUCUCGAUCUAGUGCUGAAGUAGAGUAUUGAGGAAUGGCUCACGGAGUUUGUGAAUUACUAUGGAUCAGAAGACUAUUGACAGAAUUGGGGUUUAAGCCAGGAAAGCCAAUGGAGUUACAUUGUGAUAACAAGUCAGCCAUCGAUAUUGCCCAUAGUCCAAUUCAACAUGAUCGAACUAAACAUGUUGAGGUGGAUAGACAUUUUAUCAAAGAAAAACUUGAGAAGAAGAUCAUCCGCCUACCGUUGGUAAAAUUAGAAGAUUAGUUGGCAAAUAUCUUAACCAAAGCUGUUUGUGGAAGAGUAUUUUCUGACUCACGUACCAAGUUGGGCAUUGGUGACAUAUAUGCACCAACUUGAGGAGGAGUGUCGACUUGAGUCUCCUAAUUAAUCAAGGAGGUUUACUUCCUUGAUUAAUUAAGGGAUUUACUUUCCUAUUUUUUAUAUAGUUGAUAAAUCAUUGUAUAAUUAGAAGAUACUUGCCUAAUUCUUUACUGUAUCUAAUUCCUUGUAUAGCACCCUGUAAACUCUUAUAUAUACCUCAUUAUGGAGAAGAAUAAAGUUAACCUAAUACAUUCAAAUCAUAUUCAUAUUUUAGCAUUCUCCUCAUCUCCUCUGAGGUCUCAACUACUCCAACUCGUGAGUUUCUCACUUUAAAUUAGUAAUUGUAUAUAUUAAAUUAGUAAUUGUAUCUUUCUUUCCAGUAACGAUUUGUAAAUUUAGGCACAUUUUAAUUAUAAGGUGCACUGGUCUUGAAAAUGAUUAUGCUUCGAACUCUUUUUCUACAUGAAGGGCUAGUGGUUGCACCUGCAUGGCUUAAUUUGCACCUUAUGAAAUACAAACCUAGCUAUGAUUGUUAUAAGUUAUGUAUAUUGAUUUUGCUUUAUAUAUAAAGUUUUUGUUUGUUCUCUCAGAGGAGAGUAUAGUGGUGGCGGAGCCACUUCUAGGCCAGGAGCGGCCCUGGUCCCUCUAUUUUUUUGACUUCUCUCCUAUACUAUAUAAUGUAAUAUAUACAACUUACUAAUAGACAACUUGUAAUUUAAAUUAAUGGCCCCUUUAAAAAUAAUUAGGCAUGACUAAUUUUGAAAAUUUUAGCUCUAACAUGUGUUUUGAACACUUAUAUGUAUUUGAUAUACUUGUGUUUUCUAUCUUAGCCCCCUCAAUCUUAAAUUUCUAGCUUCACCCGGUGAUGAUUUUCUAGAUGACCAUGGUGAUGGACGUGGAGGGUAUGGCCACAGACAUGGAGGGUAUGGCCACAGACAUGGAGGGUAUGGCCAUGGCCACCACGGCAAAGGGGGGCCUUGUGCUGCUAAGACUAAAACCAAGAAUUUGAUAACCUGUUAGUUUCUGUGACUUACGUUGCAGGUGUGUUGUAAGGGUAGUAGUACAAAAUAAAGUUGUUUGGUUGAGUAAUCUGUAUGAACUCUCAAUCAUAGACUCGACUCGUCUUAAGCUUGUUCUCGUGUUCUCUAUAAUGUACGCAUUGGAAUGUGUUCUCUUGUUAUGUGAUAAAAUGUGAUUUAACAUAUUAUGUCAAAAAUGUUUAGUAUGGCUUGGCUCCUUAAAAUUGAGGGGGAGCACAUCCUCACAACAAACGAGAUUUUGGCACUAGUUAAACUUCACAAAAAUUAAAAAAAAAAAAAAAAAAAGAGGUUAAAAGAACUCAAAAGAAAAAUAAAAUUAAAGGAAUUUGCCAAGUGCCAAAACUCUAUUUGUUUUGAGGAGGAACUACUCCUCAGUUUUAUGGAGCCAAACUUUUUCCUAAUAUUAAUGGAGUUCAUAUAUGACUCAUUUGUUUUGUGUGAUCACCAUUUGGUUAAUGAAUUGUGCACAAAAUUUAAUAGGAUACGGAUCAUCUGCUAUGAUUUUAGUCCUCUAAUAGGAUGGAUCCUACUUUGGAGCACAUGUGGUAUUGGUAGUUCCUACUCGCAUUUACAAAUACAUAUUGGUUGGUCCAUUAAAAUGCAAAUAUCACCUCUCAUAUCAUUAUGCGAACAUUGGGAACAAGAGUAGUGUUUCCACCGUUGACAAGGGAUUGGAAGAUCUAGCUCGACGGAAAAAUAAGGAGUAAAACUUAUAGAAGCAUGCAUGCCGUGUAUGUAUUGUUGUUAUCAUGGCGAUACUAAUUUGGCAAUUAAUUUUCUAAUGGGUGAAUUAAAAAAACAUUUUUAAUCUAUAUAUGUAAAGUUAAAUAUCCUUAUGGUUAAAUUUUAAAAUAACCCAUUUAAGAAAAAUUUCAAAACUCAAGUAUUAAUUCAUUUUGAAGGGACAGAUACAUUUAUUUAAAAAAUAAUAAUGAAAAGGAGAUAAGAAUUUAUGACCAACAAGAAUUCUAUAUAGAUUACUGUUGAGGCCCAAAAUUAAUGUCAUGAGAAGUCCAAGGAUAUUUAAAGCCCAAUAUACAAUAUAAUAUUGGCUACGCGUUAAUCUAAAUUGUAUUUUGGGAAGUUAUUCAUUAAAUAAAUAUAGAAAUAUUGUACAUGUCAUGCCAAGCAAAAUACAUUUUCCUAUGCUAAACCACCUGACAAGCUUAAGUGGACCCAAACUACAUAUAUGUAUGGGGAUUUCUGAGUGGGUUGUGGUAUGGAUAGUUAUAAGUGUUCAUAAAACCCGUUGAAGGACCAGACAAUGGAAGUUUUAGAGCUGCUUGGGAGUACAAAACUCAGACCCACUUUCCUGAGCCUAAUUACAUGGGUAAGUAGAGACAGAACUCCCAGCCUCUUCCAAAACUCAAACCCACUUUACUGCACACUCAUGGAAAAACCAACUGUUGAGCACUGUACAUCCCUCCUUGCAAUACACACAACGAAACCAGAAGAAGAACGGCAUGAGGCAAGCUCAUCCCCCAACUGCCGUAAACACACAAAGCCCAAGCCUUCCUCCAUUCUCUUCUUUCAUAACACCACUCCAAGCCCUGAACAUCACACGGAAAACCAUCCCAAAACAUCCCAACUCCCGAAAACACCACAUGCAUCUCACCUUCAACAUAUCUUAUUCCAAUCCAAGCAGCAAAAGCACUCUCUCUUACUAAAGCCUUCUACCUUUGAAGCAUGAGUAUAUAGAUAUAUAAAAAGGUAGAAGAGUACAGUAUUUGUACUGUAUUGACCCUUUGUUUGUCCAGGCGGUCUGAUAGAUGUUUUGAUAUGUAAGAUAACGAUCCAGAUUGAGCGCUAACUUAUCCAGGGUCGAUGAGGCCAACAAAGUUUACGAUAUUUGCCAUUUUUAAAUAGUCAAAUAGGUACCUAAAAAUAUGAAAUUCAAUUAAAUGAAAUUUUAAUUUAAAAGAAAGGGAAUUGUAAAAAAAUUGGAUGUUUAGAAUUACCUUAUGUAUACUGCAAUCACUGUGGAUCUGAUCUCAAUCAUGGAUGCAAGCUAUAAAAUAUCUUCAUACAAGAUGAAGGUAUCAUGCUCAUACCCAAACACUUCCCCUGGAAUGUUAACUCUCACGGUCUCGUUCGAAGGCAACUUGGUUUGGAAAAAUUGGCAUAGGGCUAAUAGAGGAGACAGCAAAUCCAGCUUUGAGAAAUCCUGAUUCAAUAAAUAAAGAAAGAACUAUAAGAUAGCUUGCAAAAAAGUAAAAUAAAUGACUCUAACUAAACCAUCCAAACCGUCGUGGUAUUAAAAUAUUAACGACGGUGAUUUGAAAAUACUGACGUAGUAAAGAAUCGAAACGACGGUAAAAAUAAACCGCCUUUGUGUCAACGUUCUAACGUCGCAAAACUAGAAAAAGGUCGUCUAGAAUAAAAUGCAGUGAAGAUGGCUUGUAAAACAAGUAAAACAAAUGACGCUGUUUUGGUUAUUGUUAAUACUUAGAAAGGCAGACAUUUGUAAGCUGGUAGAGAAAAGGAUCACAUACCACCAAGCUUGUUACGGCUGUUCUUUAUACAUAUUCUGUUUAUCUGUUCUAUUUGUACUUGUGAUGCAGGGCUUUUUGUUUCUGUUCCUCUUGUCACAAAGAAUUUUUAUUUUAUUUUUGUUUAAGAUAUUAUGUUAUUAUGUUCUUUAAGACAACUUACGCGGCUACGGUGUUCAUUGUUGUCAAGAAAAAUUAAUGGUCAUGACCGUUAGAAGUCAGACCAUUGAAAUCCAUCCUUUUUAUUUAUUUAUUUAUAUUUAUAAAUGUGGUCACAAUUUUUUUUUUUUUUAUAACACAAAGGCGAUAGUGUUUUAUUAAUUAAUGAGGAGAAAAGGGUAACAAGUACAAAAAAAUCAGACAAAGACCUAGCGGAUUAGGCGAGUACUCUACACCAAUUCAUGUUUUCACAAGCACUUUUUAAAUGUUUUCACAAUCUUAUCAGAAAUCUUGUCAUAUAUGGAAUAUUGUCUCUAAAUAGUAAUUUAAUUAAAUUAAACAAUACAUAGUUGUGGAAUGUAUGAGUGUUGUACCAUAGUUUUUCUCAAAAUAAUAAAAUAUGAAGGAUCAUAAAACUUAGCCUUAUAUGGUUGGAGAUGGAAAAAUUUAGCCAUGCACUAUUCUUUAAAAAAUUAAUAUUUUGGACGGCUAAAUUUUUAGCCCUGGACUACAUUUGGCCCUAUGACUGGAGAUGGCCUUAGAAUCCAUACACAAGUUUAACAUACACAUAUCCUUUUCACUUAAGUUUAACAUACAUGCUAAUGGGGGCUAACUCAGUGGAAAAUGACAUUGAUUUACAGACUAGAGGUCUUAGGUUCGAACCCCCAUAGCAUCUUAGUUGUGUGUGUAAGUUUAAACCAACGCUUGUAUUAAAAAAAAAAAAAUUUAAAAUACACAACCUAUUGUUGAUGAAAAAUUAGAAUCCAUUAAAAGGUCAUGUAUUAAAAGAAGUACCAUUUCUAUAAAAUAAUAAUAAUAAUAAUAAUUUAAUUCUUUUCAGUUAAAUUUUCCAAAAAUUAUAGUAGUUUUCUCUAUCACAUACCUAAGUCAAAAGUAAUGGAUAAUUUGAAUAUCUUUAUUAAGUAAAGCCCAAACAUAUCUUAGAAAUCGACAGUACACACUCAUUAUUUGAAUUUUGAAACACGGACUUAUCAAACCCAGUAAGGCCCUCCCAUAAGAAGCAAAACAAGCUCUAGUUCUUUCUUCUUUCUCAUACGUACAAUCCGGACUCAGGCAUGGUGGUGCCGGAUCAAUGAAAUAAAAGCAACACUAUCUUUCAUGACUUUUCCAACAUGUGUGAAGCCAUCUUCUUUUUUGUAGACGAGAUCCACCAUUCUUGUUAAAUUAAGAACAAGUACAAGGACAGGCAUUGGCACAGAGGUUGGCCUGAGGAACUCCUCGUUGAUAUCUUUCCACGAAUCCACAAUCUGUUUGUGGAACUCCUCUCUGCAGCUUAACUUAUAAAUGGGAUUCCCUAAAGUAUCUCGAAUUUCCAAAUUCCAAUUCAAACUCUUCACCACCAUCUCCAAAUACCUCCACCUCAAACCUUGAACCGCAGAUUUUCGGCUGUGUUGUAUUCGUACACUUACAUGAUCACCAACGCAACAAAUUGGAUCCGAGUGUAGAAAAGUGUGUUUUCAUUGGCUAUGCCCCAUAUCAGAAAGGUUAUCGAUGUUAUCACCCUCCAAGUCAGAAGGUCUAUACCUCCAUGAAUGUAGUGUUCUAGGAACACGAUAUAUAUUUAUCAGAAGCACAUGAGGAGAAUCUAGACCCAAAUACCCUGAAUUUUCUGGACUUUUUAACAACGGAAGAGACUCAGCAUCAAAGCAAUCGGUUGCCUUUCCAAAACGACCUGUCGCCUCCCUUUGAUAGUGCAAAAGAGGCGUCUCUACCUCAAAGUGACCGGUCGCCUCUCCCACACAACUGGUCGGCCCCCUAUAUUCCUUCACAAGCGGAGCCACUAGUCAAAACAACCGGUUGCUUUGCCCAAACAAUUAUCGAUUGGUAUGCUCUAUGUAUGUUAUUGUUUGGUAUAAUUCAUAUAUGACAGUUGACUAGUCAUAAGAGUAUUUGGUUAAGAUCUAGAGUGUGUGAAAUUUGUUGCGUUCUUGGUUGAAUAUCUUUUAAGUUUACCCCUCGUCACCUAAGUACCAAUUUCAAAACCAUAUGUAUAUUUUAGCAUAUUUUGCAUUUGGACCAGUAGCCACAUAACAUGAAGAGAAAUUAAUGGAGGAACAUCCACAACGAAAAGCAUCAAUUAAUUUAUUGAAUCUGAGGGGUACAGUUGUUUCUUCCCAACUUUUUGAACAAGAAUUGCAUAUUAAUUCAGUUAUGUAAAAGGUUGCAGGUUGGUGAGUCUGUGUAACGGUGGACAAGAUAUAAUGGGUGAAAAGUACGUAGAUUAUUCAUCAAUUGGUAAGAGGAAAUAUUUAAGCCAAUCAACUCAUCAAAUGUUAUUUUAUUCUACUAUUUUAUACUUAGGACACCUCAUCAACUCAUAUAUAGCAGCCCUUGAUACAUUAAAAAAAAAAAACAAAUAAAAAUACCACUUCAGCAGGCAUGGGUUAGGCCGGUUAACAGUGAGUCUGUCCCUUUACACUUAAGUUUGAAUUCUCCUUUUAUAAUUUAGAUUAAUUUAGAGUACUUUAAACUAUUACUUAUAUAUUUAUAUAUAUUAAAAAAAAUGUCAUUUGAUUCAGUUUUUAUACAUAAAAUAAAAUUAUGGACUCAUAGCAGCCCUUGGUACAUUAAAAAAAAGAUUAAACAAAAAAACAGCAGCCCACUAAUAGACGUUCCACUAUAAAUAGCACAAUACAACACCUCUUCAACUCAUAGCAGCUCUUGAUACAUUCAAUUAAGAGCACAUUGAUCAUUUCCUCGCACUUAGGAAUAAAAUGUCUGCUCAAGUUUUAGCUGCAUCCCAAGCUCAAAGCCCAAAUGCGAUUCCUGAUCAUUUUAAGCGAUGUUCAGCUAAUUUCUCUCCCAGUACUUAGGGCGAUUAUUUUCUGUCAUAUGCUUCUGUGGUAGGAAAUUAAUUAAUCCUAACAAUUAUUUAUGGGCUAAUAAUACUCAUCAUGUGCUAUAGCUGCGUCGUAUAUUUUGAAUAUUUUAUUAUUAUAAAUUAAUUUUGAUAACUUCCAUGCACCAUGAAUGAAGGUCAUACUUUCCUUAAUAUCCUUUUCAAUUUGUUCGUGUAGGAAACAGAUAUCAAAGCAGAGCAAGAUGUCCAAGAACUGAAGGAAAAAGUGAAGGGGAUGAUAAUGGCUCCAAUGCUUAAAAAUCCAUCAAAAAAAUUGGAGUUAAUUGAUGAGAUUCAGCGGUCUGGUGUCUCCCUCCAUUUCGAAAAUGAGGUUGAGGAAGUUUUGCAACAAAUUCACAAGAACUCUUACGGCGGUGAUGAAGAAAAUGAUUUUGACCUUUUCACAAUUGCUCUCCGUUUCCGGUUGCUUAGACAGCAAGGUUACAAGGUUUCAUGCGGUUAGUCCUCUCUCUCUCCCCGCGCUCAUAUGUUUUGUUUUAUAAUUCUAGAUUAAUUAAUUUUCUUCUUCUAUAAUUUUCUUCUUCUAUAUCUCUCUCUCCUCGCUCACAUGUUUUGUUUUAUCAUUCUAGAUUAAUUAAUUUUCUUCUUCUAAGCUAGCAGACAUUUUCAACAAGUUCAAGGACGAUGACGGGAAAUUUAAGGAAACACUUGUGGAUGAUGUAGUAGGACUGUUGAGCUUGUACGAAGCCACACAUCUUAGGAUGCAUGGAGAGGAUUUACUGGAUGAGGCGCUCACCUUCACCACAACUCAUCUUGAGUCAGUGGAAGCACACCGUUUAAGCCCCUUGCUUGCAAAACAAGUAACCCAUGCCUUGUAUCAACCAUUCUGGAAGGGCUGCCAAAGGCUAGAAGCAAGGCGUUACUUGGCUAUCUUUGAGGAGGAACCUCAUCCAGCAAAUGAAACUCUCCUAACUUUGGUAAAGUUGGAUAUAAACCUAGUGCAGCAAGUCCAUCAGAAAGAACUAAGUGAAAUUUCAAGGUUAAUUAAUAUACAUACAUAUAUAUUAGUGUUCAUCAGUAUACUAAUUAAGUUAUUAUUAUGUAAUUAAAUGAUAAAUUCAGGUGGUGGAAGGAUUUGGACUUUGUAAACAAGCUUCCUUUUGCAAGAGACAGAGUAGUUGAGUGCUACUUUGGGGCUCUGGGAACCUAUUUUGAGCCCCAAUAUUGCUUUGCUAGGACAUCAUUAAGCAAAGUUUUUGCUGUGACAGAAGCUAUUGAUGACAUUUAUGAUGUGUAUGGCACACAAGAGUAGCUAGAGCUCUUUACUGAAGCUGUUGAAAGGUGUAUUGAAAUCGAAACCCAAUUAAUUUAUAAGUUGUUUAGAUUAGUCAUUUAUCCUUCUCUAAAUACUGAAUAAGUCAUCACUAUAUCCAUCGGCGGUCCUGAGAAAUUGAGGGCCUUGUGUGAAACUUAAGCCCUCACAUAAUCUAAUAUAAAAAUACUAAAUUUUUUUUUGCCAUAACAUAAUGUUAUAAAACUAUUUUUUUAUAACUAAAAUUUAUCAUCAAUUAGCAUGUAAUAACAAAUACAAAUCAAUAAAUUCAUAAACUUUUUAAUGUUUUUCUUUGAUAAAAUUAAAUAUUAGUACAUUUGAUAAAAUAAAAAAAAAAGAGUUCAAGAGAAAGAAGAAUGAAUGAAUAUUAUAUCCAGUAGUCAAUUAUCCUUCUCUAAUUACUGAUUAAGUCAUCACUAGUCUAUAUCUUAUUAUUAACUUAUUUUAAUCAUCAGGUGGGACAUCUCAGCUUUGGACCAACUGCCGGAGAAUAUGAAAGUUUGUUAUGGAGCAAUGUUGGAUGUAUACACUGAAAUCGAAGAAAAGCUUGGAAAAGAGGGAAUUUAUAUCGCAUCCACUAUGCGAGAGAAGCACUAAGCCUCAUUAAUAUUUUUUAGAUUACAGAGUUGCAAGACCAUAAAUUAGUAUUCUAGUUAAUUUCCAAGUUUAUAUAUGCACAAAUAGUAGUUGAUAUCUUACAUUUCUUUGGGUCGGGCUUCAGACCUAUCUAGACAGAUUUGAGUGCGUGCUUGACUCAGUCUGAUCCAAAUAAAAAAAAAUGCCCGGGAAUGUAAGUUUUUUUUUUUUACUUUUUGGGUUGGAUGCUCUUAAUUCUAAUAAAAUAUAAAUUCUCAUGAUAUUAUUGCAUAGAAAGUAAUUAGAGAUCAUAUCUUGAUUUCGUAGAUGAAAUGAAUGGCUCCACCAGAAAUACACACAAUGGAUGAAUAUAUGGCAGUAGCACUUGGUACAUCCUACAUGAUGCUAUCAACCACGUCCUUCAUUGGAAUGGGAGAUAUUGUCACAAAAGAGUCCUUGGAUUGGGUUCUCAGUGACCCUAAGAUUGUGAACUCUUUAUCAAUACUUGGCAGACUCAUGGAUCACAUGAAGUCCCACAAGGUACAUAUUAACAUAAAUGCAACCUUUUCGUUUUUAUUUAUUUCCCCAUACCCCCUUUUAACCCUAAAUUCAUGUCUAUAUUGACGUAGUUUGAGCAAAAGAGAGGACAUAUUGCCUCAGCUGUGGAAUGCUACAUGAAAGAGUAUGGUGCCACAGAAGAAGAAACGAUAAUCGAACUCCAAAAACAAGUAAAUAAGGCAUGGAAGGACAUAAAUGAAGAGUGGAUCAACCUCAUCACCAUCCCUAUGCCACUACGAUUGAGAAUUCUGAAUUUUGCACGUACCAAUUGUAAUGACCCGGUCCUAAAUAAAUGUUUAAUUAUUAAUUAAACAUAAUAAAAGACCAUUUUGCCCCUAGAAUAUUUUAUUAGGUUUAAAUUGAAUUUUUGACCGGGGAGAAAUUUAGGAAUUUCGACUGUACCUUUGCAUAUAGCACAGUGAGAUGAGUUCAUAGACACGUAGCGGGCUCGAAUCGGAGUUGUAACAAGAGAGAUACGAUCAAAAUACCCUCAGUGGCACAAUCGUAAAUAUUGCAAAAAGGGUUUGAUAAAAUCUGGUUUCUCUCUCUCUUGAUAAAAUCUGGUUUCUCUCUCUCUCUCUCUCUCUCUCUCUCUCUCUCUCUCCUCCGCGCACUCUCUCUCUCCCCGAUAGCAGCCCCCUCUCUCUUUCUCUCUCUCUUCGAUUCUCUCAGCUCCGGCCACGGCAAGGGCCAGCACUGGUCCCAUUUGCUUCGUCUCGAUGCCACGGUCACAACCCGCCCCUUUUCUCGGACGGAGAGCUCGAGAUUUGCCGGCGAUAUCGACUGGUUUCUCUGGUUGUUCACGGCGUCGCUACGGCCAAUUCCGACAGCCAACUCCAGCAACCGAGGUACGAUUUCUCACCUAUUUUUCACGCUCUAGCUGCCUGUUGUGUAGGAAUUGCACGAUAUUCAUGUUUAGAAACUUGAUUUAGAAUUUAGGUUUUGGCCGAAUUUUCAAAGUGAAAUUUCAGCCACUUCCGUUGGUUUUUCAGGGUAUGUCCAAGAACAUAAAUGGUUCCAAAUAUGGUGUUACACCUAGGGUAGGACUCUUGAGCCGUGAUUCUGAGUUUUUCCGACAGUGGGUUAUCACUUUGGACACCCAUGUGCUGCCGGUGCGUGGGUACUGUAGAAAAGGGGCAUUGUGUCCCGAUGCGAUCCCUUUGUUGUCUCGAGGGCAUAGGUAUGAGUGAAUUUCAAUUUGGAUACCGUUUGAGUCUCGAACGGAUAUCGCAUAUUGUGCGUUAUCCGGGUUCAAUAGGUUUGAACUGUUGGAUAGUCCUGAAUUUAUAAUAUGUUAAUCUAGGCAUUUCAAGGAUUGUGUAGGAAUUCACGGAUCGUGAAUCGGAUCCCUGGAUGUUCCGAUUUAAUAACUUAAAGUUUAUAUUUUACAAUAACCGUCCGAUUAUGCGAUCGCGAGCGAUCCAACCGUUCGAUCAAGACCAAAGUUGUGGGACUUGUAUACUAAACCUUGUGGAACCUAUAGGAACUUUCAGAUCGGAAUUUGGAGGUCGUGGGCUCCGUUGACCCGUUUGACCAAGUAUGGGGUAGUUUGACCCUUGGUUGACCGUGAGUCUUCCAGGAUAGUUUCAUCUUCCUAGGAGGACUAAAAUGACCUUAGAGACAUGUCUUGAUCGCUAGUUGAGUUAUGUUGAUUAUGAGGGAUUAGGAUAUAAAUUUUAUUAUUUUAAAUUUGGAGAUUAUGGGAUGCUAUAUUGUGGUUGAGGUUUAUGCUAUUUUGGAAAUUAAUACAUACAUGUAUAUAUAUUAUAAAGAUAUAAAGAUGUUUGAUUUCACUAUAAGUACCAUCCUGCGAUUUUGAGGUCUCGCAUGGCGUAAGAUUUUCCGACGUUGAGACACACCCCAUACGUGGCUUUGGAUGUUCUGGCGUAUAGGGAGAUUUUGUGAUUGUAAGGUCCCACGUGACAUAGGAUUUUUCGGCGUGAGGACAAACCCCAUACGUAGCGUUGGAUGUUCCGACGUAUGGGGAGAUGAUAUGAUUGUUAGGUCACACGUGGCGUAGGAUUUUCUGAUAUGCUGACAGACCCCAUACGUGGCGUUGGAUGUUUCGGCGUAUAAGGAGAUUUUAUGAUUGUUAGGUCUCACGUGGCAUAGAAUUUUCCGACGUUGAGACAGACCCCAUACGUGGCGUUGGAUGUUCCGGCAUGGAGAUUUUGUGAUUGUUAGGUCCCACGUGGCGUAGGAUUUUCCAACGUGAGGACAGACCCCAUACGUGGCGUUGGAUGUUCCGACAUAUGGGGAGAUGAUAUGAUUGUUUGGUCACACGUGGCGUAGGAUUUUAUGGCGUGCUGACAGACCCCAUACGUGGCUUUGGAUGUUCUGGCGUUUAGGGAAAUUAUGUGAUUAUUAGGUCUCACGUGGCGUAGGAUUUUCCGGCGUAUGGGGAGAUUUUGUGAUUGUUAGGUCUCACGUGACGUAGAAUUUUUCGGCGUGAGGACAAACCCCAUACUUGGCGUUGAAUGUUCCGACGUAUGAGGAGAUGAUAUGAUUGUUAGGUCACACGUGACAUAGGAUUUUUUGGUGUGCUGACAGACCUCAUACGUGGCUCUGGAUGUUCCGGUGUAUGGGGAGAUUAUGUGAUUAUUAGGUCUCACGCGUGUCGUGAGAUUCUUCUGGCGUGUGAGACAGGCCCCAUACGUUGCGUUGGAUUUUUCCGGCGUAUGAGGAGAUUAUGUGAUCAUUAUGGAGAUGAAUGAAGAAUUGUGGUACUGCAUUGGAAAGAACUACGUGUGGCUUGAUCCCUUGGUGAGGGUAUGUAGGCAGCCUAGGAUAGUGCCUAGGUGCAGCCGCAGACUAAAUAUUAUUUUUGAGAUUGGUUCUGACCUUGUCAUUGGUCCUGAAAUUCGAUUGAAAACUAGAUGACGUAAAGUGUAUUUAGGCAUUCAUAUUUAUGUUUGAAAUUAUUACUUGCCUUGGUUAAGGUAUUAGUUGACUUAAGAGCUCUGUUGGUAGUUUAGUUUCAGAUUAUUUGAAGGCCGGAGACCGAUUAUGUGAAUUACAUGGAAUUAUCUUGUGCAUGCUGCCAGUUGUGGAUAUUAAAUGUGUUUUGUGCAGGUUGAAAUUUUUGGGAUUGUUCAAAUUACAGGGGAAACUUAGCCAAAAUUUCGGCAGAAAGUCUCGUGCCUUUAUUCCGUUUUUGAAUAAGGAGGCUAUAGUUUUAGUAAGUGGGCCCGGCAUCGGGGUGAUGUCGGAAUUUUCACAGGAUUCGUCUUGAGUUUUGAGAAAUUCGGGGCAGGUCCUGUCAUCAAUGAACUUAUGUACAAGCAUGAAGAUGGCUUUACUCAUGCUGGAGUUGUACUUAAGGAUCUUCUGGUGUCUCUGUUUGUCAACCCUGUGCCCAUAUAGGCCUAAAAUCAAAUUUGGUCUUCUUGUCUUUGCUAUAAAGAAUAAGGUCUCCACAAGUCAUGUCUUUGCUUUUUGGUUUUUAAAAAUAGUAAUUUGGUUUGUUUUGGGUCAUUUGUAGUCGUGGGCAUUACUCAGAAUAAGACUACACUAUUUGUACUGUACUGACCUUUUGUUUGUCAGCCCAUUUAGUACUUUAGAUUUUAUGUGUCAUAUAGAUUAGUUUGCAAUUGAUGUUCUGAAUAAAACAAAGUCGGGUUUGAGUCCAUAUUGUAUCAUUCAAUAGUUAUAUUUUUACAUUUCUACAUUUCUUUUUUUAUUGUUAACAAUAGGAAAAAAAAAACAAAAAAACAUGUCAAAAAACAAAAAAAGGAAACAUGUCAAAAAACAAGCUUUCUUCAAUAUCAAGCAAAAAAAUUUGUAGUGUAUGUUUUCACCCACUCAAAACAAAACAAAAAAAGUUCAUGUCUUCUUCUUUCUCUUCUAUUUUCUCAAAUUGAAACAUUAAAACUUUUAUGAAUUGGAUUUAUGAUUGCCAUUGCAUGCUAAUAGAUAAUGAAUUUUAGUUAUUAAAAAAAUUUAUAAUGGUAUUACCUCAUGGUAAAUUUUUUUAUAAAUAUUUUCAUAUUACAUUAUGUGAGGACUCUCGUUUAAGUUUUGCUCAAGGCCCUCAAAAUCUCAAGGUCGGCCCUGCUCUUUAUGCCCCUACAAUACAAACUUUUAUGAGCUGGACCAAAAUACAUGAGUUCCUCCGUAUACAUGUGUUACGUACGCAUAGCCCAAUCCACUUUUUAACUCCAUAGCCUAAAAGCCGAACUUCUUUUUUAGAAGUAAUUUUUGUACGCUCCGAGUACACCAUACAUGUGACAUGUGAAAAUAUUCUCUAAUACACUUGUAUUAGAUGGUACACGAGUCAACUUGUGUACACAGAAGAACAUAAAAAAUUUUCUCCUUUCUUACUAUGUAAGAAAUAAAUUAAUAUAUAAAUAACCGAAACAUAGAUAUUGGCAUAUUUGUGCAGCACAUCCUUCAACAAUCAGGAAAAAGAAAAAUAAAUAAGUAUCAAAUUAAAGAUUAACGACCUUUUCAAGUAGCAAAUAAAUGCAUUUUAUACUAAAAAAUCCUUUGUAAUUUAAACUAUUACUUAUAUUAAUAAAAAUAUACAAUUAAAUGCAUAUAUAAAUUAUUAAAGAAAUAAAUAUAUAGAUGGAUCAAUAUACAUGCACACAUUCAUAUAUGUCAAGUGAUCUUUAUUGUGUGUAUAUAUAUAUAUAUAUUUAUUUAUUUAUUUCUAUGCGUAGUCGCACAUUCCAUUGCCACAAGAAGUGCCUUCCUUGCAGUGGUUGGUGCACCUGCCACAGUUUUGAUUGUGAGACAUUGGAUUCACACAAUGAGCGUUGCGGCAUAUCUCUGAGCUACUGGCCCUGCGCUGCCUUCAGUUUCAAUAAAUAAAAGACAAAGUGAGAGUUUAUUAGAGCACUUUCAUCCAUUUGCCAAGACAAAAGGAAAGGGCUGUUACUAUUUACAUGAAUAGUGGCAACUCUUGUAAAAAGUUGUGGUGUUUUCACCCAUUGCCAUGACAACAACUAUUCACAUGAGAUGUGAUGAAAGAAAUUUGUAUAGAGUUUUGGUGUGGAAAGUGAAAAAUAUGACUAAGUAUUUAUUUUUAAAAAAUUCUAAAAUUAUUUGUAGAUUUUUUUCAAUUUUAAAUUUUCUGUUGCUGUUUCUGACGUCAGCAUACCCUGGCUUGAGCUCGAGCUAAUUUUGCCUGAGGGCUGGCUUGGUUUCGUAGGCCCAAGCAGUUGCCCUGAUAGCUUAAGGCCGCUGGAAUCAUGAAAAGGGGCUUGGGCCCCCUAUUGCCCUGGCAAGGACUGUCCGAUGGAAAGGCUCUUAGACACCAAACAAUGGACAUUUCAACAACUGGAUAGUUAGUGAGUCCAUAAGCAAUUCCACACUUUUCUUAAUAGAUACAUAUUUAUAUCAAUACCAUUAUUUCAAAUUUUGAUUACCAAAUAAUAGCGUAAGAUAUGAUAAUUUUUUAUUUGUUGUGAAUAAAUGAGAUCUAAUUCGGAUACACCAACACUAUAUUAGCCCAAAUAUGAAAUAGCAACAACUUUAAGAGGAUAUACUCUGCGAACGCUUGCCCCAGUAGAUUCAGUCAUGUCUAAGUCCUCCCCUCUUGCGCCAUCGGGCAGCGCCCAGUGAACUUGUGCACUAAAUUUGCCAAAGCAAUCUCUUGGACAGCCAUGGCAAACUGAAUUCCUGGGCAAACUCUUCUGCCAGCCCCAAAUGGAAUGUAGUGGAAGUAAUUGCCCUUAUAAUCUAUGGCACUGUCCAAGAACCUUUCUGGCUCGAACACCUCUGGUUUGUUGUAUGACUUGGGAUCUCUUCCAAUUUGCCACGCAUUCACUAUAACUUGUGUGUUGGCUUUAAUGUCGUAGCCAUUUAUUUGUGCAUCUUGGGUCGAUAGCCUGGGCAGUAGCAAUGGAAUUGAAGGAUGUAGGCGAAGAGUCUCCUUGAUAACUGCCUUCAAGUAGUGCAUUUCAACCAAAUCAUCCUCUCUAAUUAUGUCUGUUUUCUUGCCAACUAUUCCCCGGACCUCAUUCUGCAAUUUUUCCAUGAUUCUUGGAUGCCUUAAAAGCUCGAACAUUGUCCACUCUAGGAGUGUAAAUGAGGUGUCAGAGCCACCAACAAACACAUCCUACAAGAAUUUUAAUGGUAAAAAUCGAUUAAAAAUUAAUGGAAAAUUAUAUAUAAAACCCAAAAAAUUGGGGUUAGGAAUAACCCACGUGUUAUUUAUCUAUAUAUCUAUAUAUAAAAAAAAAGGUAAAAGGCUUUAAAAGUGAAACAUUCAAAAACCCUGAAAAUACUCGUGCUUCAAAGAAUUUUUGCUGCUUGGAUUGGAAUAGUGUAGUCUUCUAUCUUUUUAAUUAAGGUGCACUGGUCGUGAAAAUGAUUAUGCUUUGAACUCUUUUUCUGCAUGAAGGGCUAGUGGUUGUUCUCUCAUAGGAGAUUUUGGCACUAGUUAAACUUCAAAAAAAAAAAAAUGAAGAGGUUAAAAGAAUUCAAAAGAAAAAAAAUUGGAGCCAAACUUUUUCCUAAUAUUAAUGGAGUACAUGACUCAUUUGUUUUGUGUGAUCACCAUUUGGUUAAUGAAUUGUGCACAAAAUUUAAUAAGAUACGGAUCCUCUGCUAUGAUUUUAGUCCCCUUAUAGGAUGGAUCGUACUUUGGAGCACAUGUGGUAGUUCCUACUCACACUCACAAAUACAUAUUGGUUGGUCCAUUAAAAUGCAAAUAUCACCUCUCAUAUCAUUAUGCGAACAUUGGGCACAAGAGUUGUGUUUCCAACGUUGACAAGGGAUUGGAAGAUCUAGCUCGACGGAAAAAUAAGGAAUAAAACUUAUAGAAGCAUGCAUGCCGUCUAUGUAUUGUUGUUAUCAUGGCGAUACUAAUUCGGCAAUUUCUAAUGGGUGAAUUAAAAAAACAUUUUUAAUCUAUAUAUGUAAAGUUAAAUAUCAUUAUGGUUAAAUUUUAAAAUAACUCAUUUAAGAAAAAUUUCAAAACACAAGAAUUAAUUCAUUUUGAAGGGACAGAUACAUUUAUUUAAAAAAUAAUAAUUAAAAGGAGAUAAGAAUCUAUGACCAACAAGAAUUCUAUAUAUAUUACUGUUGAUGCUCAAAAUUAAUGUGAUGAGAAGUUGAAGGAUAUUUAAAGCCCAAUAUACUAUAUAAUGUUGGCUAUGUGUUAAUCCAAGCUAUAUUUUGGGAAGUAAUUCAUUAAAUAAAUAUAGAAAUAUUGUACAAGUCGUGCCAAGCAAGAUACAUUUUCCUAUGCUAAACUACCCGACAAGCUUAAAUGGACCCAAGCCACAUAUAUGUAUGGAGAUUGCUGAACGAGUUGUGGUGUGGAUGGUUAUAAUUGUUCAUAAAGCCCGUUGAAAAAUCAGACAAUAAAAGUUUUAGGGCUGCUUGGGAGUACAAAAACUCAUACCCACUUUCCUGAGCCUAAUUACAUGGGUAAGUAGAGACAGAACUUCCAGCCUCUUCCAAAACUCAAACCCCACUUUACUGCACACUCAUGGAAAAACCAACUGUUGAGCACUGUACACUCAUGAAUCCUUCUUUAAACAAACAUUCUAUAGCCUAUAAAUAGACCUUCAUCCCUCCUUGCAAUACACACACCGAAACCAGAAGAAGAACGGCAUGAGGCAAGCUCAUCCUCCCACUGCCGUAAACACAGAAAGCCCAAGCCUUCCUCCAUCACGCUUCUCUUCUUUCAUAACACCACUCCAAGCCCUAAACAUCACACAGAAAACCAUCCCAACUCCCGAAAACACCACAUGCAUCUCACCUUCAACAUAUCUUAUUCCAAUCCAAGCCGCAAAAGCACUCUCUCUUACUAAACUUAUGGAGACUUGUUCUCACACCAUAAGCCUCUCAAGCCAAGCUUCAUAUUGAUUAACUGAAGCAAGCUCCCAUGCGAAGCGUACAGUAUCGACAUAGUUGCUCUUUACUAGAGACCACUUCCUCUAGCAUCUUCUCCAGCACUAUUAAUUCCACUACUUACAGCACAUAGUUCACUUCAAGAAAAGCACUUCCAACGCAACAAAAUCAAGCAUAAUCAUUCCAGUACCUAUUAAUUGUACAUCAAAACCUGUAAGGAGCCACUGAAGAUAACCAAAUCACUCCCCUGUCUUAAACUCUUUCGGGGUGCUUUGGGGCCUGGUGCUGCAAACUCAGAAAGGGUAAAGGAGAUCUCAGUCCACCUCACAUUAGUCCAAUAAGCCCAUUGCAUCUCUCAACAAAAUAGACCCUCAUACAAAUGGCGACUCUGCUAAGGACUAGGCCAUUAUUCUUAGAGCGGCUCCUCAACAAUCACAAACUUUGUGAUUCGCACGUCACGCCACUGGGGGCUUCAUAAAGCAAGUUUUCCGUUGCCUUCUUCAAGUUCUUCCUGCAGCAGGAGAGAUGAAAUCGUUAAUUUUUCUUUGUAUUCAGUAUUUAUUGCUAAAAAAAAAGUUCUUUCGAUCAAUCAAGCUGCUAAAAAAAAGGAGUUAAGCAUCCAGGAGCUGUUGAUUUUAGUUUUCUUCCUGGAACAAUUAGAGAAAAACAAACCAAAUUCUACAACCAUUUGCUGACCGAAGUGGUUUAGGCUUCAUGCCAAGGAAAUUUAGAAAAACAAUAUAAAUAUCAGAGAGAGUGAAUCACUCAAACAGAAACCAAUCCAACAUCAAACAUCCAUCUGCCAACAAUAUUUUAGUCCUCCAUGGUUCUCCUUUUCUUACCAGAUAAAAGAAAAAAAAUGAACGAAAAGCAAAAGAGACAGAAUACAAAAACUUAUGUGAAAGCAUCUUCACUUGCUCUGCCCACAGCUCACCAAUCGUGGUCACAAGCACAAGAUAUGAAUUUUGCCACCAAUGCCUCAAGGGUUGAAACGAAAUAACCCCUUGCUAUCACCUUUCUCACAGCGAAAGGAAGAUUUUCUCUGCAAAUUUACACAGAUCGACCACCACCAUCGCUGCAGGACCAGCCAGCUUGCAAUAAACAAUGCAUGAAUCUCCACGUACGGCACCCACUUCAUGCGCCAAUAUUAUAAUCUUAGCCGUGUGUUUUUAUAGUGAGAGUGAGACAGGGCAUGCAACUACUCGCUCAACCCAACUCACCCUGCGCUAGAUUUUUCUUAUCUUUGAAUUAUUUGGUUUUCAGGCACCUAAGGCUUAAAAUAACUUAUAUUCUUUGAAAUUUUUUAUAGGAACUAGUUGUGGCAGAGGUGAUGGGUGGAACGCACCAAGUUAAUUAAAUAAAAACAAGGCUUAAAUUUCAAAAUGGUCUCUGUAAUUUACUUCAUCGGCCAAUUUAAUUCCCCUAUUAUCAAUUUGGCCAAUUUCGUCCAUGUGUUUAUAUAUAUUAGCAAAACUUCAUCCUUUCCGUCAAAAUUUCUGUUAAAACUGAAGAAAAAAAAUAUUUUAAAAUUAAUUUAAAAAACUGCAAUUAUUAUUAAAUAUUCAAAUUCAAUCUAAAAAUUGAAUUAAUAAAAAAAAAUUGCCUCCCCCAACCUCAACCACCUCCCAACCCCACCUAAACCACCAUUUUUUCUCUCGCACCUUCCUCUCCGGCAAAUUGCAAAGAACUUCGUAGCCAAUCAUUGCAGCGCUUGGCUCUGCCAGUUCAUCAUCCUUGUUGUAGCAGAAGUUGGCGACAUUCACACAAACAACAUGCACACUGUAGAUUCUAUAACCCUCUCGAACCCUCGUCGUUGUUUGCACCAAGACCACCGUUGAGCUCGAUUUCUCAACAAGAUUUGCACUCUGCUUUGUCUGGGCGUUGGUUAAUCCGAGAAGAUAGUCUAGGUUGGAGUGGGCUACUAGACCCCCCUUUUCAACCCAAUACAAGAACAUGACUUUUAAUAAUUAAGUUUUUAUUAUUAUUUGAAUUUGAAUAUUUACAUGACAUUUUUUUCUUAAGUUUUAACAGAAUUUUAACAGAAGGGACCACAUUUUUUAAAAUAUACAAAAACAUGGACUAAAUUAGCCAAAUUGAUAACACGAGGACUAAAGUGGUCAAUGAGUUAAAUUUGGAUCUAUAUCUAACUUUUCUAUUUUUUUAUAUACCAAAACUACCCUCAUGCUUUUCAAGAUAUUCUCAACUCUAAGUACCCUCCUCCUAUCUUUCUCCUUCUUGCCAAUCUCAUCAAAACCCAUCAGAGGAGCUUAUUCCCCCUCCUCAUCCCUACCCCCACAGUAGCCCCAUCCUCAUCCAUGUAGCAGCCCCACCCCCUACCGUGCCAAGGGUAGCAUUCAUAUGUUCAAUCAAUGCUUGAAAUGGUAAAAAUGAACAACAACAAAAUUAACGAUAUAGUUUGUGGUUCUAUUUAAUUCAUUCUCCCUUUCAAACCAGUUGAGUAAAGGCCAUUAGACCCACUAACAGGGCCUAGUCUCGUGGAAAAUAUUGUUAACUUGACAGGACCCGCCCCGAAUUUCCCGAAACCCAAGACGAAUCUUGUGAAAAUUCCGACAUCACUCCGAUGUCGAACCCAGUCACUAAAACUAAAGCCUCCUUUUCCAAAAGGAAUAAGGGCAUGAGACUUUCUACUGAAAUUUAGGCAGUCUCCCUUGUAAAUUGAACAUUCCCAAAAUUUCAACCUGCAAUAAAACACAAUUUAAAAAGCCAACUGCUAGCACACACAAUGUAAUAGCACACAGUUUACAGACAAGGCCUCCAGCCUUCAAAUAAAUCAAGGCAGAACAACUAGUAGUACUCUUAAGUGAAUUAAUAUACUGACAAUGCAACUAAGGAACUCAAAUAAUUUUACGAGUACCACUGCAGUCAACAUGAAAUAACUUCCCAAGUUUUCAAUCUGCAAAGACACAAUAAUACUUCUCACAAAUUUCUAGCAUGCAUCAACUACCAUCUAUGAAUUUUCACCAAUAGUCCCAGGGGCCUCGGCCCAUAAUACCAUAUAAUCAAACCUAAAAACAUGUAUAACGUUUAGUCAACAACUGCACCUAGGCGCUACCCUAGGCUGCCUACGUACCCUUACUAAGGGAUCAAGCCACACGUAGUUCUUUAUACUAAAUCCUAAUUCCAAACACAUACAAUACCUUUAUUCAUCUCUCUGUUAAUCACAUAAUCUCCCCAUAUGCCGAAACAUCCAACGCCAUGUAUGGAGUCUGUCAGCACGCCGAAAAAUCCUACUCCACGUGUGACCAAACAAUCAUAUCAUCUCCCCAUACGCGGCGUAUGGGGUCUGUCCUCACGUCGGAAAAUCCUACGCCACGUGAGACCUCACAAUCACAUAAUCUCCCCAUACUCUGGAACAUCCAAAGCCACGUAUGGAGUCUGUCGACACGCCGGAAAAUCAUACUCCACGUGCUACCUAACUAUUACAAUAUCUCCCCAUACGUCGAAAAAUCCAACACCACGUAUGAGGUCUGUCCUCACGCCAGAAAAUCCUACAUCACGUGGGACCUAACAAUUACAUAAUCUCCCCAUACGCCGGAAAAUCCUACGCCACAUGAGACCUCACAAUCACAAUAUCUCCCCAUACGCCGAAAAAUUCAACGCCACGUAUGGGGUCUGUCAGUACGCUGAAAAAUCCUACGCCACGUGUGACCUAACAACAAUCAUAUCAUCUCCCCAUACGCCAGAACAUCCAACGCCACGUAUGGGGUCUGUCCUCACGCCGAAAAAUUCUACGCCACGUGGGACCUAACAAUCAUAAAAUCUCCCUAUACGCCGGAACAUCCAACGCCACGUAUGAGGUCUGUCUCAACGCCGGAAAAUCCUACUCCACGUGAAACCUAACAAUCACCGGAUGGUACUUACACAGUGUAAUCAUCAUCUUUAUAUCUUUAUAAUAUAUAUAUAUAUAUAAAUUUCCAAUAUUGCCUAAACCUCAACCACAAUAUAGUAUCCGAUAUCCCCCAAUUUAAAACAAUAAAUUAAUAUUCUAUUCCCACAAAAUCAACUUAACUCAAGUAGCGGUUAAGACUUAUCAAUAAGGUCAUUUUAAUCCCUCUAGAAAGGUGAAACUAUCUCGAAAGACUCACAGUCAACCAAGAAUCAAACUACUCAAACUUGCUCAAACAGGCCCACGACCCCCAAAUUUGGAUCCGAAAGUUCCUAUGGGCUCUACAAGGAUCAGGAUACACUUCCUGCAAGUUUGGUUCAGAUCGGACGGUCGGAUCGCUCACGAUCGCACGAUCGGACGGUUAUUGUAAAAAUAGCCUUAGGAUUGACAUUUUCGGAGUGUCCGGGACUCCGUUUUACGAUCCGUCGAAUCCUAUACGAUCCUAAAGAUGCCUCGAUUGUCAUAUAUCAAAUUGGAGUUGAUCCAACGGUCUGAACAUGUCAAACCAGAUAACGCCUAAUAUGCGAUAUCCGAUCGACGAUCAAACGAUAACCAAAUUCAAAUUCGAGCAUCCCGUCAUGCUGGGGACGACAAGAGGGUUAUUUUGAAACUCUAAGAUAGGCCACCACAUGACCCACGUGCCACCCCAUGUGCCGGCAGUGCGUAGGUGUCCAAAGAAAUUUCCGGCGGCCGAAAAAUCUCCAAACCGCCGGCCAAGACUCCCAGGUUAGGUAAAUCACAUGUAGUGGAGCAACUUUUGUCCUUGAACCUACCCCAAAAAGUAGACGAAAGUGGCUGAAAACUGGCAGAAUUUCAAUCGCUUAUUUAACCGCCUAAACACAGAAAUUUCUCCUUUGCAACACAACCAUCAGCUAGAACGUCUCGAGAGGUUGAGAAAGCAUACCUAGAUCGACGAAAAUGGUGCCCGGAGGAGUCCGAACGAGCUCUGUGAAUUUUGGGUUAAAACCGGUCGAUUUUUGUCACUUUCCAGUGAGCACAGGUGGUUCCAGCGGCUGAGGCUGGUCGGGACGGAAAGAGUGAGGUGGCCUGGUUCUUUCGGGACCGGUACCACCCGAAACGGUGGCCGGAUGCGACGGUGGUGACCCAAAAUCCCGGCUGAUGAAUAGUAACAGGGGGGCUGUUUCUUGCGAAAGGAGAGGGAGAAAGAAGAAGAAAAAGAAGAAAAAGAAAAAGAAAAUUUAAAACUGCCCGGUUACUGUAGCACGACACUGUUUGCUACAGUACAAAUUUUAAAAAUUACCUUUGCAUCCUUUUUGUUUUCAGACUUUUCCUCUUUCGUUACAACUCAGAAUUGGGCGUGCCGCAUGUCUACGAACUCAUGUCGACGAGCUCUACUUAAUGGUGCCACUUACUUCUCCAAAAUCUUUUCGAAUCAGAAAAUAACCAAAAUACCCUUAUCCAAAGGGUAUAUUCGUAAAUUCAUAUUUAAAUUAAUUUAAUAAUUUAAUUGGGUAAAUAAAUUAGGGUCAGGGUGUUACAUAACUUGCAAACUAAUAGUCUCAUGUUCGAACUCUCAUGGCACCUUGGUAAUGUGCGUGAGAAAAUCCCCUCCUUAUUCCUAACUUUGGCAACCAAAAAAAAAAAAAAGAGUCAUCAGGCCAUCAUAUAAAUUCAUCUCUUGUUGUUCGAUCAACAAAAAAAACUCAUCUUGUUAUUUUUUAUUUCAAAAUUAUUUACAUGUAUUAUUUUAAAUAAUCACAUGAAUGCGUAGAAUAAUAUAAUAAUGUAAAUAUAUUGAAUUAUUUAUCAUUAAACAUCAGUAAAAUUUUAAAAAUAUAGACAAUAAAAUGUUAUUAUAUUGUAUGAUGUACUUGCCAUUUUAAGUUUUUUUUUUUUACUAGUAAGUAUACAAAACAUAUUUUAUUAUGUACAAGGCAUAUUAGUAAUCAAAUUGAUUUUGAUUCCUAUUACUGAAUACUUACAUAAGAAUGAUAUAAUAAUUAGUGGAAAAAAAAGAGGCCUGGUUUCAAACAAAGUACUAAUUACAUGAGUGGGAAAUAUAACUUCUGUUUACUUAUGUUACUCCAUUAAUAAAAUAAUAUAUUAAUUUGUAGCAACUCCGAUCUCUUGGACCAUAAGGGUCACCCACCGUUGGAUGUUAAUCUCCUUCUCACAAUAUUUAUAUACACACCAAUAUUUAUAGAGGAAAUAGGUAACAAAUUUCCUAAAACCCUUGCUAUAUAUUUCUGUCCUGAAAGAUUUAAGGAGCCUCAAAUUUGGAUAUUGCAACCACUUGAGACGUUAAUUAAUUAGACUUUAGAGAACGGUUAGGAUAUUGCAAUUUUUGGAUAUUAUAUAUCACUACUACAUUUUACACUUUGCGCGACGAAGUUAAUUUCGUCGCGCAAAAUAAAUUGUGGUCGCACAAAUUUCAACGCCACAAAAACUUCGUCGCGCAGAAUCCGUCGCGCAAAGAUCGUGAAGAAAGACUUUGCGCGACGAAGUUUUUUCAUUGGUCGCGCAAAGUUACUUUGCGCGACGAAAAAAUAUUGGUCGCGCAAAGUAACUUUGCGCGACGAAGAAAAGUGACUUUGCGCGACGAAAAAUAUUGGUAGCGCAAAGUUUUGCACGACGAAAUACAUUGGUCGCGCAAAGGUUUGCGCGACGAAAAACAUUGGUCGCGCAAAGUUUUGCGCGACGAACUACAUUGGUCGCGCAACUGUUUGCGCGACGAAAUACAUUGGUCGCGCAAAGUCUUAAAAAAAUUCCCGCGUCAAAUUUUUGGUACCCGCCCAAAUUUUUAGAGUUUUACGCGACAAAUAGUAACGUCGCGCAAAUAUUUGCGAGACGAAAUAUUUUUUGUUUUAAAUUUUUUUUAUUUGAAAUAAACUAAUUUAAUAGUUUGCGCUACGAAAUAUUUUUUCUUUAGUAUGAAUUUAUUUAUAUGAAUUUUUUCAAAUUUUUACUUUUUAAUUUAAUUUAAUUGUAUGAUUUCUUUUUAAAAUUACUUCAAUUUAAAUUGAUAUUAAUUUUUUCAAAUUUUUACUUUUUAAAUUUAAUUUAAUUGUAAGAUUUUUCUUAAUUACUUUAAUUUAAAUUGACAUAUUCAAAAUAAAAUUACAUAUGAAACAUAGUGAUCAAAUUAUCCAAUAAAUAUAAAUAUAUAUUCAAAAUGUACAUAUAAAUUAACAAAGUACAAUAAUAAAAUCCUAAUACAAGCGUAUUGUGGUGGUAGUGGCGGAGGAUAUGUUUUGAUAGCUUCCUAAUCCUCAACUUUAGCCGUCAAAGUCUCGAUGAUUCCCUACAAAAAAACAAAUAUAGUCAAAUAACAACAACAACAACAAAAAGAACGCACAAUCUCCCCUAAAAUUGUUAUACCACAAAUCCAACCCAAACUCCAAUCUCUCCCCUUUACUCAACCCCAAACCCCACACAAACUCAAAACUAACUCCAAAAACACAUAUUAAUGAAAAAAAUUUAAAAUUUGGAGAGAAUAUACCUUUUGGCAAGAUUGAGAGUGAGUGAGAAUGAGAGGGAGAAGUGAGUGUGAGAGAAUUAGAAAAGAUAGUGAUAGAGAGAUGAGAGAGUGAGAGAUAGUGAAAAGAUAGAUGAGAGAGUGAGUGAGAGUGAGAGAUAGUGAAGAUAGAGAUGAGAGAUUAAGUGAGAGGAGUUAGUGUGAGAGAAAGGGUGGGAUUUGGGGAAAGGGAAAGAGAGAGGAGAGGUAAGAGUAGAGAAAGAAAUUGAGAAAAUGGUGGAGGAGUUAUUUCAGUUUUAAAAAUCGUAUCACUUUGCGCGACGAAAAUAUGGUUGGUCGCGCAAAGUUUUGCGCGACGAAACAUAUUGGUCUCGCAAAGUUUUGCGCGACGAAUAUAGGAAUAUUGGUCGCGCAAAGUCUAAAAAAAAUUAUUUUAAAAAAAAAAAAAAAUUCCCGCAUCCCAUUUUUGGUACCCGCCAAAAUUUUUAAAUUUUUGCGCGACGAAAAAUAAUUAUUGGUCGCGCAAAGUCUAAAACAAUUAUAUAUAAAAAAUUCCCGCGUCCCAUUUUUGGUACCCGCCCAAAUUUUUGCGCGACGAAAAAUAUAUAUUGGUCGCGCAAAGUUUUGCGCGACGAAACAUAUUGGUCUCGCAAACUUUUGCGCGACGAAUAUAGGAGUAUUGGUCGCGCAAAGUCUAAAAAAAAUUUUUUUUUUUUUUUAAAAUUCCCGCAUCCCAUUUUUGGUACCCGCCAAAAUUUUUAAAUUUUUGCGCGACGAAAAAAACAUAUUGGUCGCGCAAAGUCUAAAACAAUUAUAUAAAAAAUUCCCGCGUCCCAUUUUUGAUACCCGCCCAAAAUUUUUGCGCGACGAAAAAUAUAUAUUGGUCGCGCAAAGUUUUGAGCGACAAAAAAUAUUGGUCGCGCAAAGUCUAAAGUUUUUUUUUUAAUUUUAAAAACCCGCGUCCCAUUUUUGGUACUCGCCCAAAUUUUUUGAGUUUUGCACGAUGAACUGUUGAUCGCGCAAACUUUUGAGAGACGAAAAAUUGGUUCGUAGCACAAUAUUUAUAAAAAUAAUUGUUAUGAAUAAUAAAAAAUAAAAAAAAUUAUUUUAUGAUUUAAAAUAUAAUUAAGGUGAAAGCUACUUAAUAAAUGUAUAUACUAUUCAAUUUCUUAAGUGUUAUACGUACAAAAUAAAUAAAUUUAAAGCUACUUAAUAAAUAUAUGUAUAUAAAUAUAUAUAUAUACACACACCAUUCAACGAUCCAACCAUAAGACUUGUUUGUAUAUACUUCAAGAUCGUAUACCCCAAAAAUCGCAAAAAACAAACAUUCAGAGAUCUAGUAACGGGACAAAACUUUUCGAUAGUUAUAAAUGAAAAAUCACGAUUUAACGGUUAUUUUAACUCCGAUUUUGAUGAUUUUUUUUACAGCUACACUCCUUGACCCUAUAUGAAUACAAUGACUGAAUUUGAUCUUCAAUUUAAAACAUUUGCACUAGUGGAUACCACAAAAUCUUAUGUUAUAUUUAACGAAAAUAUAAAUAAACUCUUAAUUGUUAGUGAAUAUAUUGUUUUGAUGGCAUAUGCAUUCUACGAAACUAGUUUCAACGAUCCAACCGUCAAACUUGUUUUUUUAUACUUCGAGAUCAUAUAUGCCAAAAAUUGGAAAAAAUAAAUAUUCAUAGAUCAAGUAACGGGACAAAACUUUUUGACGGUUAUAAAUGAAAAAUCAUGAUUUAACGGUUAUUUUAACUCCGAUUUUGAUGAUUUUUUACAGCUACACUCCUUGACCCUAUAUGAAUACAAUGACUGAAUUUGAUCUUCAAUUUAAAACAUUUGCACUAGUGGAUACCACAAAAUCUUAUGUUAUAUUUAACGAAAGUAUAAAUAAACUCUUAAUUGUUAGAGAAUAUAUUGUUUUGAUGGCAUAUGCAUUCUAUGAAACUAAUUUCAACGAUCCAACCGUCAAACUUGUUUUUUUAUACUUUGAGAUCAUAUACGCCAAAAAUCGGAAAAAAUAAACAUUCAAAGAUCAAGCAACGGGACAAAACUUUUCGACGGUUAUAAAUGAAAAAUCAUGAUUUAACGGUUAUUUUAACUCCGAUUUUGAUGAUUUUUUACAGCUACACUCCUUGACCCUAUGUGAAUACAAUGACUGAAUUUGAUCUUCAAUUUAAAAUAUUUACACUAGUGGAUACCACAAAAUCUUAUGUUAUAUUUAACGAAAAUAUAAAUAAACUCUUAAUUGUUAGUGAAUAUAUUGUUUUGAUGGCAUACACAUUCUAUGAAACUAGUUUCAACAAUCCAACCGUCAAACUUGUUUGUUUAUACUUCGAGAUCAUAUAUGCCAAAAAUCGGAAAAAAUAAACAUUCAUUGAUCAAGUAAUGGGACAAAAGUUUUUGACGGUUAUAAAUGAAAAAUCAUGAUUUAAUGGUUAUUUUAACUCCGAUUUUGAUGAUUUUUUAUAGCUACACUCCUUGACCCUAUAUGAAUACAAUGACUGAAUUUGAUCUUCAAUUUAAAAUAUUUUACACUAGUGGAUACCACAAAAUCUUAUGUUAUACUUACGAAAGUAUAAAUAAACUCCUAAUUGUUAGUGAAUAUAUUGUUAGUGAACAAAAAAAAACUAGUUUCAACGAUCCAACCGUCAAACUUGUUUGUUUAUACUUCGAGAUCAUAUACGCCAAAAAUCGGAAAAAAUAAACAUUCAGAGAUCAAGUAAGGGGACAAAACUUUUCGAUGGUUGUAAUGAAAAAUCACGAUUUAAUGGUUAUUUUAACUCCGAUUUUGAUGAUUUUUUACUGCUACACUCCUUGACCCGAUAUGAAUACAAUGAACUAAUUCGAUCGUCAAUUUAAAAUAUAUAUUUUCUAACAAAAACCCAAUCCGAACAACAAUAAUAUAUUUUUCUAAUAAAAAUCCGAUCCGAUCUAAAAUAAUAAGUUUAAAGCUACUUAAUAAAUAUAUAUACCGUUUAAUUUCUUAAGUGUUAUGCAUACAAAAUAAAAAACAAAAAUAAAUUGGUUUAGGUGACAAAAUGUUUGGAUUACGUCAUGCAAAGAUUCUAAAAAAUAAAUUUUUUAUUCUAUUUAUUUUUGUAAGGACUUUGCGCGACGAAAAGUAAACUUCGUCGCGCAAAGUCACUUUGAGCGACGAAUUAUUUUUCAUCGCGCAACAUUGGUCGCGCAAGACUUUGAGCGACGAUGUAUUGUCGUCGCGCAAAAGUUUGUAGCGCGAAGUGAGUUUGCGCGACGAAUUAUUUUUCGUCGCGCAAAAUUUGGUCGCGCAAGACUUUGAGCGACGAAGUUUCAAGUUUCGUCGCGCAAAGUAACUUUUAGCGACGAAUAAUUUUUCGUCGCGCAAAAUUUGGUCGCGCAAGGGGUUUUUUUUACUAGUGUAUUCUUUCUCUACUUUACCUUAAUGACUCAUAAUUACCCACUAGCACUGUAACACAGCUUCAAGUUGAAGCCAUGGCAGAGGCGUGGGAGGGGAGAAAGACUACGUAUUUUUAUAGUGUUAUCUCCGACUAAUAAUACCAUAGCAUUCAUGAUAAUACUUCGAUGUGGCAUAACAUUAUUGGCCGAAAAUAACAAAACAAUACUAUCUCCAUUACAACUACGUUUUUAUCCGUGGGCUGCUCUUAGGCUUAUCUAGUCUUUAAAAUGCAGUUGAAGAAUUUAUUAUUAUGAAAAUGACGUGAGAGAGAGGGAGGGGGUCAUAUAUUUUCAGAAUAAUUUUGCUAAAAAACGAAAGCAGAAGAAUUAAUUAUUAUGAAAAUGACGUGUAAUAAAACCACAGGUUGUGUGACAUUGCCGUACGGUACAUGCAGUCGGUGAGUCCACAGAUGACCAUGCAUUUGUUUUGAGUCGGAUUAAGCAGUGAAUGGGGGCACUAGUUGUCCAUCUUUAUAUGACCCAAUGACUUAAGAUAUCUAUAUGCAUACAGACUUUGAGAAAGCACAAAUAGUUUGUGGACAUGAGCGAUAGAUACUGUGGUUUUGGAUUAUCAACAAUGACAGUGUGAACGACUUUUCUUCAUGGUGUGCUUUAGCUACAUCUUCUACGCUUCUGCAUUGGUCACAUUCAUGUAAUCUUGAACAUGAAGCAACGUACCACAAAGGCUACCAAAACUUUAAUAACUGUGGACCAGAAGGAAGCAGUAUAUAGGUCCUACUACCUGUGCAUUUUUGCUGACUAAUAGUUUGAUGCUUAAGGUAAAUCCAAUACAAUUAGUGUAAAUGUCAUUUUACUAUAUAAUUAGGUAUAUCCAAUACAAAAUAAAUCUUUAAUCUUGAACAUAUUUAUAUAGGGGAUUCUAUGACUCACAAAGAAAACCUACGGAUACAUUUGUGUUUAUGUUUAAUCUCAUUUUCUCUUUUGUAAUUCCAUCUACUUUUCAUAAGAGUUUGUUUGAAACAAUUUAUAUAUAAAAACUACCCUUGUUUUUAGAUGAUUAUUGUGGUAGGAUGUAAUCAACAAAAUAGACAAACACGGUAUUUCAAGAAAAGACUAUAAUAAAAACUAUCUAAUUGAAUGAUCAAAUAGUUUCGGAUCCAAUUGAUUGUCACAGAAAUGAUCUUUGAAGAAAUAUCUAAAAACUAGAUGGUAUUGGAUUAUUGAAAUGCAUGGUGAGUCUUAUAAGGGUGUCUUUCAAAUAAACUUAUUUGAGAAAUCCCUCAACUAAAGCCAUAUCAGUCUCCUUCUCACAAUAUUUAUAUACACACCACACCUUUUGUGAAAAUCUAAAAAUGCUAAAUUAUGAAUGAAAACUGACAGUUAAAGAACUCUCAUGAUCACUCUACAAGAUUGUGACCUGAAUGAUGAAUCAGCAGCUUAAGUUUCACCCCAUUAAUAAAAUCUUUUGCCGUUCCCAUCCCACCUCUAAUAAAAGCUUACUUAAUACGUAGUCCCAUCAACCCCUACCAUCAAAGUAAGGGUUGAAUUUGGCGCUCUUUAGCCUUUAAUCACCACAAGAGUCACAAAUUCUUCUCUCUCCUUAUCUUUCCAACCCCACUGAUAUCUCAGGCAGCUCUAUAAAUAGGAAGAACCAAGCCAUAUUAUACUCACUCAGCAAUCAUCUCUUGCAUACUUUCAUAUAUACAUUAUUGUGCUUCUUGUUAAGCAAAACAUGGCAUCCUCAAAGGCUUUUCUUCUUCUUGGUCUUGUCUUUGCUGUUCUCCUCAUCUCCUAUGAGGUCUUAGCUAUUCCAACUCGUGAGUUUCUCACUUUCUUAACUAAAUCAUAAAUAUUAAAUUAGUAAUUGUAUCUUUCUUUCCAGUAACGAUUUGUGAAUUUAUGCACAUUUUAAUUAAGGUGCAUUGGUCGUGAAAAUGAUUAUGCUUCGAACUCUUUUUCUACAUGUAGGGUUAGUAGUUGUUGCACUUGCACGGCUUAAUUUGCAUCUUAUUAAAUACAAACUGAUCUAUGAUUGUUAUAAGUUAUGUAUAUUGUUUUUGCUUUAUAUAUAAAGUUUUUGGUUGUUCUCUCAGAGUCAGAGGAGAGUACAGUCAACGGUGAUGCCCGCGGAUUUGGAGGUCAUGGCCGCGGAUUUGGAGGUCAUGGCCCCGGACAUGGAGGUCAUGGCCCCGGACAUGGAGGUCAUGGCCCCGGACAUGGAGGUCAUGGCCACGGACAUGGUGGUCAUGGCCACGGACAUGGAGGUCAUGGGCACGGACAUGGAGGUCAUGGCCACGGACAUGAAGGGUAUGGCCACGGACAUGGUGGAUAUGGCCACGGCCACCACGGCCACCACGGCCACCAUGGCAUAGGGAGGCCUGGUGCUGCUGAGACUGAAAUCAAGAAUUAGAUAACCUGUUAGUUUCUGUGACUUACGUUGCAGGUGUGUUGUAAGGGUAGCAGUACGAAAUAAAGUUGUUUGGUUGAGUAAUCUAUAUGAACUCUCAAUCAUAAACUGUCCUAAGCUUGUUCUCAUGUUUCUCAUGUUCUCUGUAAUGUACGCAUUGUAAUGUACGCAUUGGAAUGUGUUCUCUUGUUAUGUGAUAAAAUGUGAUGUAACUUUCUCAAUACAUAUUAUGUCAAAAAUGUUUAGUAUGGCUUGGCUCCUUAAAAUUGAGGGGGAGCACAUCCUCAUAACAAAUGAGAUUUUGGCACUAGUGAAACUUCAAAAAAAUAAAAAUAAAAAGAGGUUAAAAGAAAUCAAAUGAAAAAAAAAAUUAAAGGAAUUUGCCAAGUGUCAAAACUCUAUUUCUUUUGAGGAGGAACUGCUCCUCAGUUUUGUGGAGCCAAACUUUUUCCUAAUAUUAAUGGAGUUCAUGUAUGACUCAUUUGUUUUGGGUACCAAAUUUAAUGAAUUGUGCAUUCAUUGGUGGACCCAUAAGCAUACAGUUUUUAAUUUAGGUGAGAUACUCUCGGCAAUUUAAAUCAUGUCAAAAACAUGAUAUCAAAAAAAAUCAGCCAUCAUCGAGUUUGUAGAUAAAGAAAUAAUAUAUAUGAAUGAACGUAAGCUAUAGAGAAGAACAUUACCAAGAGCUUUCGUGCUGAUAACGUAUUGUGAAACUAGAAAUUUGUAGGGAGAAAUAAGAGGAAGAAAGGGAGUAUAAUUUGCUCAAAUAAACUUGUAUUCCAUUCAUAUUUGGUGCCACUAUUUAUAGGGGUAGAGAGGCCUAAAUCAUUUACCACCAAUAAUUGAUAGGUGACAAAUAUAUAAUGAUGAGUAUUAUGAUAGGUUAAUAGUGGCUAUUAUUGUGAGCAUCCAUAACCUAUAAACCAAUAACAUAUGGAUUUAUAACACAAAUACGUUUAUUAAAUAAACAAUAAUUAAAAAGUAAAAAGAAGAUAAGAGUCUAUGUCCAACAAGAAUUCUAUAUAGAUUACUGUUGAGGCCCAAAAUGUCACGAGAAGCUCAAGGAUAUUUAAAGUCCAAUAUAACAUAUAAUGUUGGCCAUGCGUUAAUCCAAGCUGUAUUUUGGGAAUUAAUUCAUUAAAUAAAUAUAUAAAUAGUGUACAUGCCAUGCUAAUCAAAUAUUAUAUUUUUCUAUGCUAAACCACCUAACAAGCUUAAGUGGACCCAAGCCACAUAUAUAUUUAGGGCUUGUUGAACGGAUUGCGGUGUGAAUGGUUACAAGUGUUCAUAAAGCUUGUUGAAGGAUCACUGUUUUACAGCUGCUUGGGAGUACCAAAAUUCAUACCCACUUUCUUGAGCCUAAUUACAAGAGUAAGCAGAGAGGGAACUCCCAGCCUCUUCCAAAACUCAAACCCACUUUCAUUACUAUGCACAUAGUAAUUACUGCACACUCAUGGGGAAACCAAUUGUUGAGCACUGUACACUCACAGAUCCUUCCUUACACAAUCAUUCUUCAGCCUAUAAAUAGACCUUCAUCCCUCCUUGCAAUACACACGCCGAAACCAGAAGAAGAAUGGCAGGAGGCAAGCUCAUCCUCCAACUGCCGUCUACACACAAAGCCCAAGCCUUCCUCCAUCAUGCUUCUCUUCUUUCAUAACACCACUACAAGAGUCUUGAACAUCACACGGAAAACCAUCCCAAACCAUCCCAACUCCCGAAAACACCACAUGCAUCUCACCUCCAACAUCUUAUUCCAAUCCGAGCAGCAAAAGCAUUCUCUCUUACUGAACUUAUGGAGACUUGCUCUCACACCAUAAGCCUUUCAAGCCAAGCUUCAUAUUGAUACACUGAAGCAAACUCUCAUGCCAAGCGUACAGUAUCAACGUAGCUACUCUUCACCAGAGACCACCUCCCUCUAGCAUAUUCUCCAGCGCUAUUAAUUCCACUACCUGCAUCACAUAUUUCACUUCAAGAAAAGCACUUCCAACACAACAAAAUCAAGCACAAUCAUUCCAGUACCCGUUGUACAUGCAUCAAAACUUGCAAGAAGCCACUGAAGAUAACUAAAUCACUCUCUAAGUCUUAAACUCUUUCGGAGUGCUUUGGGGCCUGGUGCUGCAAACUCAGAAAGAGUAAAGGAGAGCUCAGUCCACGUCACACCAGUCCAAAAAACCCAUUGCAUCUUUCAACAAAAAAGACUCUCACAUAAAUGGCAACUUUGCUAAAGACUAGGCCAUUAUUCUUAGAGUGGGUCCUCCACAAUCACAAACUUUGUGAUUCGUAAGUCACCACUGGUGGCUUCAUGCAAAGCAAGUUUUCCGUUGCCUUCAAGUUCUUCCUGCUGCAAGAAAGAAGAAAUCGUGAAUUUUUCUUUGUAUUCAGUAUUUAUUGCAAAAAAAAUUGUUCUCUCGAUAAAGCAAGCUGCAAACAAAAAAAAAAAAAAAAAACAACGAGUCAAGCAUCCAGGAGCUGUUGAUUUUAGUUUUCUUCCUGAAACAAUUAAAGAAAAAACACACAACCAAAUUCUACAACCCCUUUCCGUGACAAGGGUAGCAUUCAUAUGCUCAGUUAAUGCUUGAAAUCACUAGCGGACCCAGAAAUUUUUUAGCGAAUGUGCAAUAUUGACUAAGUAUGAAAAAUGGUUUUUCGAAAUAAUCAUUUUGUCAAGAUAAUUUUUAGCCGCUUUUAUUUCUUACACAUCAAAUAAGAAAAUUUGAUUUUAUGGGAUUUUAGUAUAUAUGAAGUAUAUAUUGACUUAAUGAGCCAUCAUUUUUAGCUUAAAUCGUAUUUUGCACUAAAAUCGAAUUUUCAUAUUUUGAUUUGGUGAGAAUUUGAUUUUCUAGUAUUUUUAUUUGAAUCCAAAUGGGGGGUACUUUCUUAUUUACAUUGUAAACUUAAGUAAAUGGAGUAAUAUAAAAAUAAAUAAAAGUAAAAGGACAAAGACAUUUAAGUAAGGUAAUUUGUACAUCAAUUGAGCAAAUGAGCAAUUUGAAGCACCUACAAUGGUUUUUCCGGCAAGGGGAGGUGCAGCUGCACCUCCUUGCCCCUUAAUAGGUCCGCCUCUGCUUGAAAUGGUAAAAAUGAACAACAACAAAAUUAACGAUAUAGUUUGCGGUUCUAUUUAAUCCAUUCUCCCUUUCAAACCAGUUGAGUAAAGGCCAUCAUACCCAUUAACAUGGUCUAGUCUCGUGAAAAAUAUUUUUAACUUGCAAACUAGUAGUUUCAUGUUCGAACUCCCAUGACACCUUGAUAGUGUGUGUGAGAAAACCCCCUCCUUAUUCCUACCUUUGGCAACCAAAAAAAAAAAAAAAAAAGUCAUCAGGCCAUCAUAUAAACUCAUCUUGUUGUUUGAUCAUAUAUAUUAAUGUAUUUGAAUUCUUAGAAUAAUAUAUUAAUGUUAAUAUAUUUGAUUAUUUAUCAUUAAACAUAUUUUAUUAUGUAACUAUACAAAACAUAUUUUAUUAUUUACAAGGCAUAUUAGUAAUCAAAUUGAUUUUGAUUCCUAUUACUGAAUACUUAUAUAAGAAUGAUAUAAUAAUUAGUGGGAAAAAAAAAGGGCCUGGUUUCAGACAAAGUACUAAACAUGAGUGGGAAAUAUACUAAACACAAUAACUUCUGUUUACUUAUGUUACUCCAUUAAUAAAAUAAUAUAUUCAUUUGUAGAGGAAAUAGGGAUCAAAUUUCCUAAAACUCUUGCUAUAUAUUUCUGUCCUGAAAGAUUUAAGGAGCCUCAAUUUUGGAUAUUGCAACCACUUGAGACGUUAAUUAAUUAGACUUUAGAGAACGGUUAGGAUUUUGCAACCUCUUUGCAAUUUUGGAUAUUAUAUAUUCUUUCUCUACUUUACCUUAAUGACUCAUAAUUACCAACAAGGACACUAGCACUGUAGCACAGCUUCAAGUUUAAGCCAUGGCAGAGGCGAGGGAGGGGAGAAAGACUUCUAUAUAGUGCUAUUCCUGACCAAUAACGCCGUAAUAUUCGUGAUAAUAUUUCGAUGUGGCAUAACAUUAUUGGUCGAAGGUAACAAAACAAUAUUAUCCCCGUUGUAACUAAGUUUUUCUCUGUGGAGCUACUCUUAUUAUGAAAAUGACGUGAGAGAGAGGGAGGGGGUCAUAUUUUCAGAAUAAUUUUGCUAAAAAACGAAAGUAGAAGAAUUAAUUAUUAUGAAAAUGACGUGUAAUAAAACCACACGUUGCGUGACAUUGCCGUACAUGCAGUCGGUGAGUCCACAGAUGACCAUGCAUUUGUUUUGAGUCGGAUUAAGCAGUGAAUGGGGGCACUAGUUGUCCAUCUUUAUAUGACCCAAUGACUUAAGAUAUCUAUAUGCAUACAGACUUUUAAAAAGUAGAAGCAAUACAGCCUUAGAAAGGCAGUGCGUGCAUGGAAAAAGAUUAUCUGGUCCCAAUUUGCAUAUUUAUUAUUAGGUAAAAUACUUUGAAAAAGCACAAAUCGUCAUAGUUUGUGGACAUGAGAGAUAGAUACUGUGGCUGGAUUGUCAACAAUGACAGUGUGAACGACUUUUCUUUAUACUGAAAUAAGAAGUGAACGUGAAUAUUUCUUUCCUAGUACAAAAGAUUGACAGCUACAAUUUAGCAUUCCUAUUCUGGUUAACCACUGAUUCGUAGGAUCUAGAUACAAGGAGAAUUGUAGGUUCAUCUCCUAUAUAUGUUGCUGUACAUUCAGAAUUGUACAUUAUACAAAUAUAUGAAAUACCAGUUUCUUUACAUGGUACCAGAGCCUCCUUUUUUUUCUUCACCAUAAACAUCAAUGGCACCAGACAACGAUGCCAAACCAGUUGACAGAGAGAAGUCCUCAUCCACAACCGAUAGAGAUGCAUAUGACUCUACCGAUCCCUACUGCAUACACCACUCAGAUCAUCCCGGCAUGAUAUUUUCUUCCAUGCCACUGACUGGUGAUAACUACAGCACUUGGAGUCGUAAAGUAUGAAUUUCCUUGAGUGUGAAAAACAAAACAGGCUUUAUUGAUGGGUCCAUUGUGAAGCCAUCCCUCACCAAAAAACCUAUAGAGUAUCAACGAUGGCAGAGGUGUAACGACAUGAUCUUGUCGUGGAUUCUCAAUUCUUUGGAUCCUGACCUUGCUAAUAGUGUUAUUUAUGCUGAGACAGCUCAUGAAGUUUGGACUGAUUUAAAAGAACGAUAGAGCAACGCUCCUAGGAUUUUUCAGAUUCAAUGCAGCAUAGCGACACAUACGCAAGAUCAGAUGCCUCUGGCAACAUAUUAUUCAAAACUAAAGAGCUAUUGGGACGAACUGGGUUCCUACAAUGAUACAGAAGUUUGCUCCUGUGGAGCAAUUAAAGAAGUCGUUGGCCGAGCGCGAGAAACAACAACGCUUGAUGCAAUUUUUGAUGGGACUAAAUGAAUCCUAUGCAGCGAUCCGAGGGCAGAUUCUCCUUAUGGAGCCCUUGCCAUCAUUUAGAAGGCAUAUUCCCUACUUUCACAGGAAGAGAAACAACGUGAAAUCACCACUACCCAUGCAAAUACAAAAAGCAUGGCCAUGUUAAGUAUCCACAAUAAGAAAGGGGGUUCUUCUAAACCCGCUUAUCAAUUCCGCUCAUAACAAGGACAGAACUCACAACCUCGUUCCUCUUUUCGAGGGAGCCAAAAAGAGACUCGACGUUGCACUCACUGCAAUGGAGAUACUCACACCGUUGAUACUUGCUAUUAUCUCAAAGGGUUCCCUCCAGGACAUAAGUGGCACAACAAAGAAGUCUCUCUGCCUGAUAGAGGAAGCAGUUCACACCAAGGAAACCAAAGGAAGUCACAUGCUGCCAAUAAUGUCCAAAACUCAGAUUCACAAGUUCAUCAUCUCCAGUCCAUCGCGCCCCACCUUACACUAGACCAAUGCCAACAAAUUAUGGGCGCCGUAGGUAAAGAAGAUGUUUCACAAACCCAAGUAAAUUUUGCAGGUCUGUCUCCUUCUUGUCUAUUUUCUCAAAAGCAAUCCAAUUUAUUGCAUGCUUGGGUAAUUGAUAGUGGUGCUACCGACCAUAUCACUAAUUCACAUGACUUUCUAAUUGACACAUCUCCAUCCUCCAUGUCCCCAGUAGGAUUGCCCACAGGGGCUAAGGCACCCAUAAAAUCCACUGGCAAAAUCACUUUUGAUGGAAAUUUGUGUCUAACUGAUGUUCUUUGUGUUCCAUCCUUUAAUGUUAAUUUGAUGUCAGUUCCCAAACUCACAGAGUCACUUAAUUGUUGUGUUGUGUUCUUUCCCAAUUUUUGUUAUACACAGGACUUGGUUAAGAAGAAGAUGAUUGGAUUGGGUAGGCGGCAUGGCAACCUAUACUAUUUUGAUCCAAACUAUAUUUCUCAUAAGCCACCAUCCUCCUCACACCAUGUGUUAUCUCGAUAAAAUCUUUGGCACUUGCGGCUAGGACAUCCAUCAGAUGCCCGCCUUCUUAUCUUGGCUCAACAUGAAUCUGAUAUUUUCUUUUCCCAGCACUCCUGUGAUUUUUUCCCAUUGGCUAAACAAACUAGACUUCCAUUUACUUUAAGUUCCAUUUCAAGUAUUGAUUCUUUUGAUUUUAUUCAUUGUGACUAUUGUUGGGGCAAGAUAUUUUUUGACUAUUGUUGACGAUUAUACAAGGUGCACAUGGGUUUAUUUAAUGCCAUAUAAAUCUGAUACUCAAGGUCUUCUUAAAUCCUUCUUCGCCUUUGUUUAUACUCAAUUUAACAAAACAAUAAAGGCUAUUCGUGUAGAUGAUGGUGGUGAGUUUUCUUCUCUAAAAACGUUUUUUUGCAGAUCUUGGUGUGGUUUACCAACAUUCCUACGUCUCAACACCUCAAUAAAAUGGGAUUGUGGAACGUAAACACCAACACCUUCUAGAGAUGGCUCGAGCCUUGCGAUUCCAUGCACAUCUCCCUCUUAAUUUAUGGGGAGAAUGCGUACUCACUGUUGUAUAUCUGAUUAAUCGUCUCCCCACUCCACUUUUAACUGGUAAAACUCCCAAUGAGCUUUUAUUUAACCAUCCACCCAUUUAUAAACAUCUUCGUGUUUUUGGUUGUCUUUGUUAUGCAACUAAUUUACACCCUUCUCAUAAAUUUGAUAAACGGGCACGUAAAUGUAUUUUCGUGGGUUAUCCUUUUGGUCAAAAGGCUUAUCGUGUUUAUGACUUAGAGACCAAAAAGUUUUUCAGUAGCUGGGAUGUUAUUUUUCAUGAAAAUGUCUUUCCUUUUGCUAAUCAACAUGAUGUACCCACUAUCCCUGUCUUGCCUUUAACCCAAUGAUUAUGAUUAUGUGCCUGUCCACAUAUCAGACCCACUACCCACUUCAUCUUCCAAGCCAAAUCCACCAACCAAUCUAGAUAUGCAUCCACCUAGCCCAAACACACACUCUGGCACACCUACACCACCUCUUCCAAAUACACCACCACCUAGUCCACGCACACAAUCUAGUCCAAAUACACACACCCAAUUUAGCCCCAACACGCAAUCUAAUAUAUCCCCUCAACCUAGUCCACCACUAAGUCCAUCACAUGAUACACACCCACCACCAUCGCUUCGACAUUCUGAAUGCCUAAAACAACCUUCAGUGCUCCUACGUGACUACCACUGUUACACCGCCAUGUCUCUCUACUCUAAUUCGUCAUCUUCUUCAAAUACAAAAGGUAAGGGCACCCGAUACCCUAUUUCCCAAUUUCUUAAUUAUCAUAAUUUGUCAUCCACUCACAAAUCUUUUGUAGCUUCCAUCUCUCGAGUUGUUAAGCCAACUACUUUUGCCCAAGCUUCGACUGACCCUCUUUGGCAAGAAGCCAUGGACAAGGAAAUUCAAGCUCUUGAGCAAAAUAAUACUUGGUCCAUAACACCUUUACCUGCAGGAAAACACCCAAUUGGCUGUAACUGUCCAAAGUCAAAUAUAAUUCUGACGGUUCCGUUGAGCACUACAAAGCUCGUCUCGUGGCCAAGGGAUAUACCCAACAGGAAUGCUUAGACUACACGGAGACAUUCUCUCCCACAGCUAAAUUGGUCACUUUCCGAUGCUUGCUUGCUCUUGCCGCUGUACGCAAUUGGCCCCUCCACCAAUUAGACGUCCAAAAUGCUUUUCUUUAUGGAGAUUUAGACAAAGAAGUCUACAUGCUUCCUCUACCCGGCCUUUGCCGACAAGGGGAGCACUUGGUUUGUCGGCUACACAAAUCAUUAUACAGGUUGAAGCAAGCACCACGAAAUUGGUUUGCCAAGUUCACCAAUGCCCUUCAAGAUGCCGGAUUUGUCCAUCCCUAGCAGAAUAUUCACUUUUCACAAGGUAUCACGAUAAUUCAUUUACCAUUAUAUUAAUUUAUGUAGAUGAUAUUGUCAUUAUAGGGAAUGAUCCUAAGGCAAUUCAGUCUCUUAAGGAUUUACUCCAUGCUCGCUUCCGCAUAAAAGACCUUGGAAAUCUUAAAUAUUUUUUGGGAAUUGAAGUAGCAAGAUCAAAGAAGGGAAUUUUCAUCUCUCAACGCAAGCACACACUGGAUAUACUUGACAACGCUGGACUUUUGGGUGCUCGCCCUUAUUCCUUUCCCAUGGAGCAGACGCUUAGACUCAACCCUACUGAUGGCAACCACUACAAGAUCCUACCAGAUGCAGGCGAUUAGUAGGUCGCCUCAUUUAUCUCACAGUAACAAGGCCAAAUCUCUCAUUUGCUGUCCAUGUGCUUAGUCGUUUCAUGCAUGAGCCGCACCAACCUCAUCUAGAUGCAGCUCUUCGUGUACUACAUUAUUUGAAAGGCUCUCCAGGAUAAGGCAUUUUAUUCCCUACUACAAACAACCUAAAGUUAAAGGCAUUUUGUGACUCAUGUUGGGCAAGUUGUCCAACUACCAAGAGAUCUGUCACAGGUUAUUGUACUUUCCUUGGUGAUUCUUUGAUUUCUUAGAAAAUCAAAAAAUAAAAUACCGUGGCACGUUUCUCUACAGAAGCAGAAAACCGAGCUAUGGCAGAUGCGUGUUGUGAGCUCACAUGGUUACGUUACAUCCUCAAAGACUUGGGCAUUCAACAUUCAGAACCAGCAGUAUUGCAUUGUGAUAAUCAAUCAGCCCUUUAUAUUGCAAAGAAUCCAGUAUUUCACGAGUGAACGAAGCAUAUUGAUCUUGAUUGUCACUUGGUGAGACAAAACAUUCAAUCAAGCUUGGUGUCUACUGCCUACACGCCAACAAAGAUGCAGAUUGCUGAUAUAUUUACUAAACCCUUGGGCAAGGUUCCUUUUGGCUCACUAUUAGGCAAGUUGGGAGUAUACAACAUACACUCUCUAACUUGAAGGGGCAUAUUGAAAUAAGAGGUCAACGUGAAUAUUUUUUUGCUAGUAUAAAAGAUUGACAGCUACAAUUUAGCAUUCCUAUUCUGGUUAACCACUGAUUUGUAGGAUCUAGAUACAAGGAGAAUUGUAGGUUCAUCUCCUAUAUAUGUUGCUGUACCUUCAGAAUUGUACAUUGUACAAAUAUAUGAAAUACCAGUUUCUUUACACUUCAUGGUGUGCUUUAGCUACAUCUUCUACCCUUCUGCGUUGGUCACAUUCAUGUAAUCUUGUACAUGAAGCAACGUACCACAAAGGCUACCAAAAAUUUAAUGACUGUGGACCAGAAGGAAGCAGUAUAUAGGUCCUACUACCUGUGCAUUUCUUGACUAAUAGUUUGAUGCUUAAGGUAAAUCCAAUACAGUUAGUGUAAAUGUCCUUUUACUAUAUAAUUAGGUAUAUCCAAUACAAAAUAAAUCUUUAAUCUUGAACAUAUUUAUAUAGGGGAUUCUAUGACUCACAAAGAAAACCUACGGAUAUAUUUGUGUUUAUGUUUGAUCUCAUUUUCUCUUUUGUAAUUCCAUCUACUUUUCAUAAGAAUUUGUUUGAAACAACUUAUAUAUAAAAACUACCCUUGUUUUUAGAUGAUUAUUGUGGUAGGAUAAAAUCAACAAAAUAGACAAACACGGUAUUUCAAGAAAAGACUAUAAUAACAACUAUCUAAUUGAAUGAUCAAAUGGUUUCGGAUCCAAGUGAUUGUCGCAGAGAUGAUCUUUGAAGAAAUAUCUAAAAACUAGAUGGUAUUGGAUUAUUGAAAUGCAUGGUGAGUCUUAUAAGGGUGUCCUUCAAAUAAGCUUAUUUGAGAAAUCCCUCAACUAAAGCCAUAUCAGUCUCUUUCUCACAAUAUAUAUAUAUAUAUAUAUAUAUACACACCAUACCUUUUGUGAAAAUCUAAAAAUGCUAAAUUAGGAAUGAUAACUGAUAGUUAAAGAACUCUCGUGAUCACUCUACAAGAUUGUGACCUAAAUGAUGAAUCAGCAGCUUAAGUUUCACCCCAUUUGCCACAUACCAUCAAAGUAGGGGUUGACUUUGGCGUUCUUUAGCCUUUAAUCACCACAAGAGUCACAAAUUCUUCUCUUCUCUCUCCUUAUCUUUCCAACCCCACUGAUAUCUCAGAAAGGUCUAUAAAUAGGGAGAACCAAGCCACAUUAUACUCACUCAGCAAUCAUCUCUUGCAUACUUUCAUAUAUACAUUAUCGUGCUUGUUGUUAAGCAAAAGAUGGCAUCCUCAAAGGCUUGUCUUCUUCUUGGUCUUGUCUUUGCUGUUCUCUGUUGACGUGGGUCUCCUAAUUAAUCAAGGAGAUCUACUUCCUUGAUUAAUUAAGGGAUUUACUUUUUUAUUUUUUAUAUAGUUGAUAAAUUAUUGUAUAAUUAGGAGAUACUUUCCUAAUUCUUUACUGUAUAUAAUUUCUUCAAACACAAACCCUAAACCCUCAUAUCAAAUUUCGUCACACCCAAACCCUAAAUCAAAUUCCUCAUAUUUACAGCUUCAGAUUCGGAUCUUCAUACCCGAAUCCUCAUAUCCUCUUAUCACAAAACCCUAAACUCAUAUUUUUUUCUCUUAUCAGAAAACCCUAAACACAUAUUUUUCCUCUUCUCUUAAAUCCUUCCGCUACCAUGAAUAUCGUCUCAUCUUCCCAAACCACUGCCUCCACUUCCCCAUCCUCCACAAUUGCCACAACAAGUUCCCAUGGUUAUGUUUUGACAGGACCCGCCUCGAAUUUCCCAAACCCGAGACAAAUCUUGUGGAAAUUCCGACAUCACCCCAAUGUCGGACCCAAUCACUAAAACUAAAGCGUCCUGUCCCAAAAAGGAAUAAGGGCACGACACUUUCUACCGAAAUUUCGGCAGCCUCCCCUGUAAAUUGAACAUUCCCCAAAUUUCAACCUGCACAAAAACACAUUUAAUAUCCCAACAGGCAGCACUCACAAGAUAAUUUCAUGCAAUUCACAAACUCGGCCUUCGGCCUUUACAAAAACCGAAGUGAAACCAAACAACCCACAAAGCCCUUAAGCAAAAUAUUGCCUUCCGCAAGGCAAUUAAUAAACUCAAAUAUGAAUUAUGAAUACCAAACACAACUUACAUCAUCUACCUUUCCAAUUCUAACAUACGAGGUUUUAACCUCCUAACACAAUCACAUUUAUGUCUGCGGCUGCACCUAAUAACCUUAGGCUGCCUACAUACCCUCACUGAGGGAUCAAGCCAGACGUAGUUCUUUCUACUAAAUCCCGAUUUCCAAACACAGACAAUACCUUUAUUCAUCUCUCUGUUAAUCACAUAAUCUCCCCAUAUGCCGAAACUACCAACGCCACGUAUGGGGUCUGUCAACACGCCGGAUAACUUACGCCACGUGUGACCUCAACUUAUUAUUACCAUAUCUCCUCAUACGCCGGAUCUACCAACGCCACGUAUGGAGCCUGUCCGCACGCCGAAUAACCUACGUCACACGGGACCUCACAAUCAUAUCACAUAAUCUCCCCAUACGCCGGAUCUACCAACACCACGUAUGGGGUCUGUCAACACGCCGCAUAACCUACGCCAUGUGCGACCUCAACGUAUUAUUACAAUAUCUCCCCAUACGCCGGAUCUACCAACACCACGUAUGAGGCCUGUCCGCACGCCGGAUAACCUACGCCAUGUGGGACCUCACAAUCAUAUCACAUAAUCUCCGCACACGCCGAAUCUACCAACACCACAUAUGAGGUCUGUCAACAUGCUGGAUAACCUACGCCACGUGCGACCUUAACAUAUUAUUACAAUAUCUCCCCAUACGCCAGAUCUACCAACACCAUGUAUGGGGCCUGUCCCUAGGGUCAUUUAAAUCCUCCUGGGAAGGUGAGACUCCCCCGGAAGACUCACGGUCAACCAAGGGUCAAACUACCCCAAACUUGGUCAAACGGGCCCACUAGGCCCACAACCUCCAAAUUCCGAUCCAAAAGUUCCUAUAGGUUCUACAAUGUUUAGGACACUCAUCCUGCAAGUUUGGUCCGGAUUGGAUGGUCGGAUCGCUCACGAUCGCACGAUCCGACGGUUAUUAUAAAACAUAAACUUUAAGUUAUUAAAUCGGAACAUCCGAGGCUCCGAUUCAAGAUCCGUGAAUUCUUACACGAGCCUAGAAAUGACUAGAUUAACAUAUAAUAAAUUCAAGACCAUCCAACGGUCCAAACCUAUCGAACCCGGAUAACGCGCAAUAGGCGAUAUCCGUUCGAGACUCAAACGGUAUUUGAAUUCAAAUCCGAGCAUACCGUCAUGCUCGAGACGACAAGAGGGUUAUUUUAGAACUUUAAGACAUGCCACCACAUGGCCCACGCGCCACCCCACGCGCCGGCAGCGCGUAGGUGUCCAAAGAAAUUUUCGGCUGCUGAAAAAACUCCAAACCGCCGGCCAAGACUCCCAAGUUAGGUAAAUCAAAUGUAGUGGAGCAACUUUUGUUCUUGGACCUACCCCAAAAAGUGACCGGAAGUGGCCGGAAUCGGAGGCCGAAAACCGGCCAAACUUCCAUCGCUUAAUCGACCUUCAAAACGUAGAAAUCUCUCGAAUCUAACACAACAGGCAGCAAGAACAGCUCGAGAAGUUGAGAAAGCAUACCUGGAUCGACGAAAAUGGUGGCCGGAGGAUUCCAAACGAGCUCCGUAAAUUUUGGGUUAAAAUCGGUCGGAUUUUUGCAUUUUCUGGCGAUCACAGGUGGUUCCAGCGGCCGAGAUUGGUCGGGAUGGAAAGAGGGAGAACGCCCGGUUCUUUUCGAAUCGGUGCCACCCCAAACGGUGGCCGGUUGCGACAGUGGUGGCCCAAAAACCUUGGCGGUGAAUAGUAACAGAAGGGCUGUUUCUUGCGAAGGGAGAGGGAGGAAGAAGGAGAAAAAAUAAAAUUUAAAACUGCCCGGGUACUGUAGUAAAAUUUUAAAAUUACCUUUUCAUCCUUUUCGUUUUUAGACUUUUCCUCCUUCGUUACAACUCGAAAUUGGGCAUGCCGCAUGUCUACAAAUUCGUAUCGACGAGCUCUACGUAACGGUGCCACUUACUUCUCCAAAAUCUUUCCGAAUCAAAAAAUAACCAAAAUACCCUUACCCAAAGGGUAUAUUCGUAAAUUCAUAUUUAAAUUAAUUUAAUAAUUUAAUUGAGUAACCAAAUUAGGGUCGGGGUGUUACAUGUUUUGCAUAGUUCUUCAAAGAAACACAUAUGGGUCAUUGACACCGGAGCCACUGAUCACAUAACCUUUGAUCCUGGAUAAAUUACCUCUCAUACCCCGUCUUCUUAAUUGGUGGUGUCUAAUGCCAAUGGUAACCCCUCCCCAGUAAUUGGGGAGGGUUCCCUCUCUCUCUCUCUCUGACUCCCUCACUUUGGAUUCUUUAUUUAUUGUUCCAUCCUUACAUCAUAAUUUCUUAUCUGUUGCCCAAAUUACUACGGCUUUGAAUUGCAUUGUAACCUUUUGGCCUACUCAUUGGGUUUUUCAAGACAUUCUCAACAGCAAGACGAUUGGUUGUGGUACUAGGAUGGGCAGACUCUAAUAUCUGGACUUGGCAUCUGACAGUGAAGCCAGCCUCAGUCACUCUUACAAAAUUGGGGGUACGAGUGUUGAGAAGCAAACUUCCGAAGUAUGGUUAUGGCAUCGCCGACUUGGACAUGCUUCGUUUGGAUAUUUACAAAAGCUAUUUUCUUCCUUAUUUUCCCAGUUAGAUAUCUCCAGUUUUACGUGUGACAUCUGUGAAAUAGCCAAGAGCCAUCGUGUUCCUUUCCCCUUAAGUUCACAUAAAAGUUUGGUUCCUUUUUCUCUUGUUCAUUAUGAUGUUUGGGGCCCGCUAAAAUUACCACUCUCGGGGGAGCUAGAUGGUUUGUCACAUUUAUCGAUGAUUGCACACGUAUGACCUGGGUUUCCCUUCGCCAAACAAAAGGGGAAGUCAAUUCCAAGUUUCAACAGUUCUAUCACAUGGUGGAGACACAAUUUCAUACAAGAAUUCAAGUUCUUCAGUCUGAUAAUGGCAGAGAAUUUCUCUACCAUGAUCUUACUCAGUUCUUACAAGAUCAUGACAUUAUACAUCAACGCUCAUGCCCUUACACUCCUCAACAGAAUGGUGUGGCUGAACGAAAGAAUAAACACUUAUUGAAAAUGGUUCGUGCCUCUCUCUUUGGUGCCAAUAUGCCUCGGUCCUUUUGGGGAGAAGUCGUCUUCUUUGCAGCAUACCUUAUCAAUCGGAUUCCCUCCAGUAUCCUUAAUUUCCAAACCCCCCUUCAAACACUCUACAACCAUAUCUAAAUACCUCUUGCCAAAAACCUAAAACCACGGAUUUUUGGCUAUGUGGUCUUUGUCCCCUUACAUGAUCACUAAAGCAGCAAAUUGGAUCCCCGUGCUGAAAAGUGUGUUUUUAUUGGUUAUGCACCUCAUCAGAAAGGUUACGGGUGUUAUCAUCCUCCUAGUCAGAAGGUCUACACUUCUAUGGCUGUUGUGUUCCAAGAGCACGACAUAUAUUUUUCAGCCGUACAUGAGGAGCAUUGCGAUGCCAAACAUCUCAAAUUUCAAGACUUUUUCCUUCAUAAUUGUCACUUACUGAAAACCAUCGGUCGUAGAAUGCAAGCGACAGGUAGCCGGAGACUGUGCCUAAGAACGACCGGUCGCAGCCUAAGACUCUGCCUGAAAGCGACCGGUCGUCCCCCAGAAAUCCGAAUCUGCUUCAAAACGACAGUCGUCUCCCUGCUGUCAAACUUAGGAGAACAUUGAGGAGUUUUUGAGCGCUCAGGAAAAUUCUUCAACUCCAGUAUCCCACCAAUCACCUGCUGAGGACGUCAUUCAGGUAACCUCUUUUCUUGAAACUGAUAACAUUAAUGAAAUAUCCCAUGAUGAUUUAAUUUCAGAAUGCAUAGAGCCUGCAUAUCAGAUUCCAAGAUGGAAGAACGUGGAAAACCUCCAGUUCACUACGAAGCAGACCUUAAUGGAAAAUGAAAAUAUCCCAUCAACAAUUAUGUAUCCAUCAGCAGAUUAUCAGAAUUAUGGGUACACUUUGUGAAGCAGUUGGAUGACAUACCUAUUCCCAACAAUGUAACUGAAGCACUAGAAGACUCAAAAUGGAAAGAAGCCAUGAAUGAAGAAAUGCGAGCUCUCCAGAAGAAUGGCACAUGGGAACUCGUGCCAUUACCUCAUGGAAAGAAGACUGUCGGAUGCAGGUGGAUUUAUAUUGUGAAACUCAUAGCAGAUGGAUCCAUUGAAAGAUAUAAAGCUAGAUUGGUGGCGAAGGGGUGCACAUCAAGAUAUGAGAUAGACCACCAUUAGACUUUUGCCCCAGUAGCCAAGAUUAAAACUAUCAGAGUUCUUCUAUCUCUAGCAACAAAUCUCGAUUGGCCAUUACAUCAGUUUGAUAUAAAAAAAUGCAUUCUUACAUGGAGACUUGAAAGAAUAAGUAUAUAUGGACUUGCCACCAGGAUGUAACUUAGCUCGCGACAAGGAGAAUCAAGUUUGCAAGCUGAGAAAGUCAUUGUAUGGGUUAAAGCAAUCCCCCAGGGCAUGGUUUGGUAGAUUCACUAAAUCUAUGAAGAAUUUUGGAUAUAUACAGAGUAAUGCAGAUCACACCUUGUUUCUAAAGCGUGAUGGAAGAGGACUUACUGCACUGAUUGUUUAUGUGGAUGACAUAGUCGUAACUGGAAACGACAUAGAAGAGCAAUUAAAACUGCAUAAAUAUCUAUCUCAGGAAUUUGAGAUGAAGAAUCUAGGUGAUAUGAAGUACUUUCUAGGAAUUGAAGUAGCCAGGUCCACAACUGGUAUAUUUCUGUCUUAAAGGAAGUAUGUAUUAAAUCUCCUCACUGAAAUAGGAAUGCUUGGAUACAAACCUGCUAAUACACCCAUCGAGAUGAUUCACAAGUUAUGUGAAGACAUGGAUCAAGAACCAACCAAUAAGGAACAGUACCAACACCUUGUUGGAAGAUUGAUAUAUUUAGCUCACACAAGACCAGAUAUUGCAUAUUCUGUGAGUGUGGUUAGUCUGUUUAUGCAUUCACCCAGUGUGUCCCAUAGGAAUGCAGUUGAUCGGAUCUUAAGAUACUUAAAGUCAGCACAUGGAAGAGGGUUAACGUUCUAAAAAAAAUAGAGAUCUCGAAGUUGUAAUGCUGAUUGGGCUGGCUCCAUUACUGACAGACGCUUUACUUCAGGUUACUUCACUUUUGUGGGAGGUAACCUAGUCACUUGGCGGAGUAAAAAACAAAAUGUGGUUUCUCGAUCUAGUGCUGAAGCAGAGUAUCGAGGAAUGGCUCACGAAGUUUUGGAAUUACUAUGGAUCAGAAGACUAUUGACAGAAUUGGGGUUCAAGACAGAAAAGUCAAUAGAGUUACAUUGUGAUAACAAGUCACCCAUCGAUAUUGCCCAUAAUCCAGUUCAACAUUAUUGAACUAAACAUGUUGAGAUGGAUAGACAUUUUAUCAAAAAAAAAAACUUGAGAAAAAGAUCAUCCGCCUACCAUUGGUAAAAUCAGAAGAUUAGUUGGCAGAUAUCUUAACCAAAGCUGUUUGUGCAAGAGUAUUUUAUGACUCACGUACCAAGUUGGGCAUUUGUGACAUAUAUGCACCAACUUGAGGAGGAGUGUUGACGUGAGUCUCCUAAUUAAUCAAGGAGGUUUACUUCCUUGAUUAAUUAAGGGAUUUAUUUUCCUAUUUUUUAUAUAGUUGAUAAAUCAUUGUAUAAUUAGAAGAUACUUGCCUAAUUCUUUACUGUAUCUAAUUCCUUGUAUAGCACCAUGUAAACUCUUAAAUAUACCUCAUUAUGGAGAAGAAUAAAGUUAACCUAAUGCAUUCAAACCAUAUUCAUAUUUUAGCAUUCUCCUCAUCUCCUCUAAGGUCUCAACUACUCCAACUCGUGAGUUUCUCACUUUCUUAACUAAAUCAUAUAUAUUAAAUUAGUAAUUGUAUCUUUCUUUCCAGUAACGAUUUGUGAAUUUAGGCACAUUUUAAUUAUAAGGUGCACUGUCAUGAAAAUGAUUAUGCUUCGAACUCUUUUUUGCAUGAAGGGCUAGUGGUUGCACCUGCAUGGCUUAAUUUGCACCUUAUUAAAUACAAACCUAGCUAUGAUUGUUAUAAGUUAUGUAUAUUGUUUUUGCUUUAUAUAUAAAGUUUUUGUUUAGACAACUUGUAAUUUAAAUUGAUGGCCCCUUUAAAAAUAAUUAGGCAUGACUAAUUUUGAAAAUUUUAGCUCUAACAUGUGUUUUGAACACUUAUAUGUAUUUGAUAUACUUGUGUUUUUUAUUUUGGCCCCCUCAAUCUGAAAAUUCUAGCUCCGCCCGGUGAUGAUUUUCUAGAUGACCAUGGUGACGGACGUGGAGGGUAUGGCCACGGACAUGGAGGGUAUGGCCAUGGCCACCACGGCAAAGGGGGGCCUUGUGCUGCUGAGACUGAAACCAAGAAUUAGAUAACCUGUUAGUUUGUGACUUACGUUGCAGGUGUGUUGUAAGGGUUGUGGUACAAAAUAAAGUUGUUUGGUUGAGUAAUCUAUAUGAACUCUCAAUCAUAGACUCUUCUUAAGCUUGUUCUCGUGUUCUCUGUAAUGUACGCAUUGGAAUGUGUUCUCUUGUUAUGUGAUAAAAUGUGAUUUAACUUGCUCAAUACAUAUUAUGUCAAAAAUGUUUAGUAUGGCUUGGCUCCUUAAAAUUGAGAGGGAGCACAUCCUCACAACAAACGAGAUUUUGGCACUAGUUAAAC